RNAcentral lists this long non-coding RNA (85016 nucleotides) under Brachypodium distachyon (stiff brome). Its description in RNAcentral is "long non-coding RNA (BDIS_LNC003128)". The stretch from base 18466 to 18590 matches the Rfam family "MIR1120/MIR1122 microRNA precursor family". The record is from RNAcentral. Lineage: Eukaryota; Viridiplantae; Streptophyta; Magnoliopsida; Poales; Poaceae.
CCGAUCUAAAGUAGAACCUGGAGCAAAAUAAAUUUAAAAUAGGACGCAGCGCCGUGACGAGCUCGCCGUCUCAGUCUGACUCAGAGUCGGGCUCGGAAUGUUGCGGAGAACAUAGCCUCCAUUUCAUACACAUCGUCCUGUUUGAUCGCAAUGGUAUGGAGAUCUGGGCAGUGCACACGAGGCCAGCGUCCAGGCAGCCAGACAUGCCUGAUCUUGGCGCAGCGAGCUAGGAGUUCAUCGUUGACUUCAAGGUAGGGGCAUGCGGUGAGGUCAAGGCACUCGAGGUGCGGGCAGCCUUCGAGGAUGGCAUGGACUCCUUUGGUCAGGUUGUCGCAUGCCAGCUGGAGGAGUCGCAGUUCGUGCAGGUUUGCUGCGAUAGCGAAGGCCACCCGAUUGUGCCCUGCCUCCCAGACCAUGGCCAUGUAGUGGUCGUUGUCAUCAUCAGUAUCAUCAUGGAUGAGGAUGCGUUGUUCCAAGCUCAUCUCUCACAUCAUUGCAUCUGAGUUGAACCAAGGCACACGAUUCUUAGGCGUUUCAGCUCUGGGCGCACUGCGCCAAGCUGCUUGUAAAAAUAUGCUGGCUGCUUCUGAUGCGAGCACUCUAUCUCUUCUAGCAUUGGACAUUUAGCUGCAAGCCUAGCAACUUUGUCAUCCUGAAAGCAUCCAGAGGAGAUGAUUUGAAUGCUCUUUAACGAGUUGCCUCUGCAGAGUUAAAGAGUCAGAAUAAACAUGAUAUAUAAAAUAAACUUCAGACAAGAAAUAAAACAGGACUGCAUAACAAGUUUGCAGUAAGCAUAAUUUCUCCUUAAAGCCAAGUAGUUGGAGAGAUCACAUAAUCGCGUGCCAUAAAUAUCAAAUUAGAGGUCAAAGUUUAGGGCCCAAGUGAAAUUCAUGCUUCGCAAAAACUAUUAAGGCGUGACAGUGCUCAAGACUGAUAGGUCAUACAUAGUGAAAAGGAAGUGCAGACAUGCAAGAGCAGAAACUUAGGGCCCAAAGAAAAAUACCUGCUUGCAAUGUAAUCCAGGAGUUCGCUACUGACAAACUUCUCUGCCCAGAAUGACUCCAUACGUCCGUCAGAACGAUCUAUGGCCACCUUCGCCAUUUUGCACAUGACAUUUCCCGCCUUCGAGAAAACCACGUUGUGCCCCGUCAUGUCCUCGAAUCGCCACAACUCAGUCAACUUGGCGGCCUCCAACCAUGAGUGGCACACAAGCCCUGCGCCCAUCAGGAUCUCAAUGGUCCCAAGCUUUGUGAAGAUAGCAGAAAGCGCAUCAACUGUGAGCUCAGACCAAUCCCUAACUUCAGGCACAGGCAGAGGGUUUGGUUCUGCCACCAUUUUGCGAGGAAGUACCUAAAAAUAAGGGUAUCAUAAAAAAGAGAACAAGGAUGACCAACUUUAAUUUGUAUGAUGCCAUGCUAAAUUACAGUUUGCACACAAGAUAGAAGAAUCAAAUUCAAUGUAGUUAGGAGCAGCUUCUCUGUACCAUUGUAAUUUGUAAACCCAACUAUUAGGAUUAAACUUAUGGAUUAUAAAUGGUUUAGACUGAAGAAACUUCAGAUCUCUAAGUCUUUUUAUAUAUGUCCAUUACUCUAAUCAACAUUCCAACUAACAAAACCUCAUAUUUACUAAUAGAUGAAACAUGUAAAACUCUCCGUCCCAAUGCAUAAUGUGUGAAGAGCACCUCCAAGGUCUCCCCUAUCUUAUAGUCAUAUUUGGGGAAUUAAUACAUCCAAAAAAUUGUGUCCAGCAGAUUCCCAAUCCAUUUCCCAUUCCUAGCCAUCCCCCAUAUACUACUCACAGAUCUUGUAUGUUAAUUAGUGAUAAGUGAUGCUGAUAAUUGUUAUGUGGUUAUCACAUGGAAUUUGAUGCUAAUUUUUUUCUCAAGUCUUAACUUAGAUGUAAUUACUCCCUCCUUUUCACAAAGGUUGGAGUAUUUUGUUUCGUAAAACAAGACUUUGAACAAGAAUUACACUAUUAAUAUGUAAUCUAUAUGAUACAAAAUCAUGAUUAUUAGAAAGAACUUUUAAAGACGAAUCUAUUGAUAUAAAUUUCAUGUAUGUAAAAACACAUAUUAAUAGAGUUAUUGACCGGAUUAUAUCUCAUAAAGUGAAGCGGAUUGAAGUACACCCAUAUAUACAAGCUCUUAAACAUUUCUCAGAAAUCAGAGUCUUCCCAAUUUUGGUCGAUUUACCAAAAACAUCCCACAUUCAGUACGCACGCACCCCUCUGUACUUCUGGAGGUAGAGUUUCAGAGGUUGGAUGUAGUCCUGAAACCCCAGCGUGGCCAUCGCCCACAGCAGGUGGUCUCCGGUGAUGGCCUCCUGCUUCUCCUUCCUGCACUUGCCACUCGCCCUGCAUUGCAGAAAGCACAUACACAAGUCAGCCGGCAAAACCGAAAGCUACAAAAGGGAAAAAGAAAAGAAGGCAAAACAGAGUAAAGCGUCCCGUUUUAUUUAUUACUCUCUGGUGACGAAGGCGAUGAACUCGGAGACGAACGCCUGCACGGCCUCCUUGGCAUCCUUGCCGAUCUUGCCGUUGGGAGCGAUGACCUUCCGCAUGAUGCUGCUGAUGUUGGCGAUGGGCAGGAGCUGGCCGUCCUGCUGCUCCCUGCCGCCGCCGCUACCGUCGGCCCCGCCACCGCCCACCGCAUCCUGGGCUCGCCGCCGGCGCGUCCCUCAUGUGUGCUCCGCCGCCCCAACCGAAACACAAGUCGAUUAAUCAGAUCGGCCACCAAACCCUAACCCCCGGAAGGCUCGAGAAUCGCUCGGAGGACGGAGCGAAGAGGGGUUUGCAUAAAGAGGGAGAGAGAGCGAGCGAGCGAGCGAGCGAGAUGUUCCCUCGGCGCGCGACGUGGCAACUGGUGAAAGAAAAACAGAGAAGACGAGGCGGCGAACAUUUUGGUGCAAGAAAAGCUGUUUACCACCCCACGCCCUGCCAAAUUUUGGUGCGCCCACGACUCUUCGGGCUGUGAUUUGGUUAGCUGCGGCUAGAAUAAGAAUAAAAGCUGGUUAUAGGGAUUUAAAUAUCAUAUUUGUGUUUAGUUGGAUGAGUUAGAAAAGGAAGUGGACUGAUAGCUAACAGCCAGCUGCAGCACAAGCUCCUAGGUUAUUUGUGAGAGUGAAAUGUGGAUCCAGAUUUAAUAAAAUACAACAUCUUAUAGCUCACUAUUGUACAUGUUAGUUAUUAGAUGGGCUUAUAGCGAGGUGCUGGCUACUACUAUUGCUCUUGCUCUUAGCGAGGCUCGCCAACGCUACUCACCUGAAAAUUCGUUCACACUAGUUCAAUCAUGUGCCCACGCGCGGGCGAGUCGUUGGAGGCCAAAUCGCUCGUCAAAUCCUGGACGAGCCAAUUGUUGGCGUUGUGCGCUGGGGCUUAAAACAAACAACGGAAAUUCUAAGUGGGGCACGUGCCCCACUUGAUCGAUCUUACUGUGCGGCGUUCCCCUUCUCAUUGUCUUAUCCGCUCUCUCUCUCUCUUUUCUUUUUCUCCUCUUGAUCUUGUCCUCUCACUAGCCUUUCUCCUCUCGAUCUCAUCCCCUGGGUUUUCUCCCGAUGGUAGGACCUCACGGCGGACGCAAGAGGCGGCAUCAUAGUUUUAAAUAGCGGGCUAAGCCAUUUAGCGGCAGCCUGCUCCAGAAGCUAUACGUGCUAUAGCGAUGCUAUAAUGGCGCUAAGACAUUUAGCGGAUUUUUAAAAAAUCAUACAAAAGUAUCAAUAAAUGAGGCAUCAUAUGAUAAAUAAAAAAUCUUCCCCUUGACAUCACUAGGAACUACUUGACACUUAGAAACACCACUUGUAAUGCCAGCAAGGUGGUACCUAACUCUAGUAAUGCCAACAAUGCACAUAUUGGGACAAUAGCACCAUUUAAUAUGAUGUUUUUGCUCAAAUUUAAAAAACUACAAUGAGCUGAGACACUGCUUGAGAUGUGAUGGGAUUUAGGCCACCCCUAUGCCAGAAGCCCAAAAAAUAAUUAUCACAGGGUUAGCUUAGCGCGCUAACGAUCCCAAAAUAUAGCACUAUAGCGUGAUUAGCGGAGCUAAUAGCGUUUUUUCUCAGGUUAGCAUUAAAACUACAUAGCUUUAGCGCGAUCCCUCUCCAAACGCUAUAGCGCCGCUAUAGCGAUGCUAGAGCGCGCUAUUUAAAACUUUGGGCGGCAGUGGCGGCGACGACAAAGCAGAGCGUUGCAGCGGCGACGGCGGAGCAGGGACGGCCACGGAGCAGCUUGCAGCGGCGCACUACGGGAAAACCGGGCGUUGCCGGCGGCAAGGCACUUUGCCGGAGGCUUACAUCGGGCCGCCGGCAAAGAGGCGCUAUGCCGUGGGCCGGCAGAAAAGCCCACGGCAUAGGGUCGGCCGCCAGCAAAUCUUCCGAAAGGCCGGCGGCAAAGGACGGCCGCCGACAAAGAGACCCUGCACAUGGGCCCGCGUGCGAGGUUAACGACGGGCGAAACGGCCGGCGGGGAGGGAAAAAAACUAUCUUUGCCGACGGCCACCAAAAAAAAGCUGCCGGCAAAGUGAUUCGUUUUUCCCACGACAUUCCGUUCAAAUUUGGACGCGCGCGCACGAAUUAAAAAAAAAAAGAAAUAACCCUUUGCCGGCGGCCCCGAGAAAAGGCCGCCGGCAAAGGCCAUUUCUUUUUUAUUUUUUCCCACGUGUCCCCCGUCCGAAUUGAACCGAACAAAAAAAAAGAAAUUAACCCUUUGCCAUUGGCCCCGAUAAACAGCCGCCGGCAAAGGAGAAUUUUCUUUUUUCUUUUUGUCCAAAGUCCCCCGUUUGAAUUGAAACGGACGAAAAAAAAACCCUUUGCCGGUGGCCCCGAUAAAUAGCCGCCGGCAAAGGCUGCUUUGCCGAAGGCCCACAUAAUAGCCGCCGGCAAAGCAUUUUUUUUCCUUUUUUUGUUUGUUUGUGAUGUAAAUCAACCAUAUUGUAAACACAUAGAGAAAUAUAUAUUGUUGUUUAGAUUGAACCCAAUUUACACUUAUAAAAUAAAGAAAACUAAUUACUCUUUGCCGGCGGCAGUGAGUUAAUUGGUUACGAUCGGUUCAUCGACGCAUGAAAUGACGAAACAAAUGGUUUCCCGGCUUUCCCCUUGUGCAUGGUGUGCCAUGUAUAAGUAAAUGAAGGGUGUGUUAAUGGUAAAAUCCAAUCGAUAGCCCUGAUGUGACACUUCCUUUGCAAACAAUACUAGCGAAUGGGCAUGAAUGUUCCACACUUGAGGGGAAAAGUCUCAAUUCAGACCGACGGGACAUAAUUUAGUCGGUCCAUGGGAUAGAUGUUUGCUUUUUCAUGUUAACAUGUCGUAAUACAACAAUAUGAUAUAGUAAAGUGACAUGAAAACCCAAGUUUUGGUGAAAAGCUAGUAAGAAAACACUAAGAAACAUUCAAACCCAAGCCCUAGAGUGAGGAAAACACGCAAUUCAGACCGAGGGAGAAGAAUUCUGUGAGGGCUUGGGGUAGAUUUGUUGUUUUACAUGUGCCCAUGCGGCAAUAGAACACCAAGUAAUAGCAAAACAUCAGGAAAACCAAUGUUUUGGUGAAAAGCUACCCCGUAGAUGCCACGAGGCCCGCAGGAGGGGGCGAUGCCUCAAAUCACACGACGGAUGGUCUCUAGAGAACUUGAAAUCUUGGAUGAUGUCAACAAAUGGGUACAUAGAGAUGGUGUUAAUCUGAGGUUGCACUUCCUUCACAAACUAGACUAACCCGCACGAACGUUCCAGACUUGGGGGGGGGGGGGGGGGGGAGUCGCAAUUCGGACGGACGGAGCAGAAUCCUUUGAGGACUUGGGUAGCUUUUUGGUUUUUCAUGUCCCCAUGUGCUAGUACAACACAAAGGUAUAGAGUAAAGUGACUUGAGAACACAAGUUUUGGUGAAAAGCUAGCCCGGAGACGCCACGAGGCCCGCAGGAGAGGGCAAUGCCUGAAAUCACACGACGAAUGAUCCAGAGAACUUGAAAUCUUGGAUGAUGUCAUCAAAUGGGUUCAUAAAGAUGGUGUUAAGAGGAAAACACAAUCCAAGUAUCUGAGGUUGCACUUCCUUCACAAACUAGACUAACCCGCACGGAAGUUCCGGACUUAAGGGGGAAAAGUCGCAAUCCGGACGGACGGAGCAGAAUUCUUUAAGAAAUUGGGUAGAUUUUUGGUUUUCAUGUUCAAAUGUCCUAAUAGAACAAAAAGGAAGUCUAAAGUGACAGAAAACCCCAGUGUUUAGUGAAUAAUUAAAGUAAAAAACUGGAAAAAAAUUUGGAAAAAGUCUUUGCCGGCGGCUUUUUGUGGGUCCGCCGUCAAAGGUUUCUUUGCCUGCGGCUUUUUGUCGGGCCACCGGCAAAGCGCGCUUAAAAAAAACAAAAACCCUCCCCCCCCUCUCUCUCUCUCUCUCUCUCGCGUUCCCUUCUCUCUCGCGCGCCCGCGCCCGACCGCCGCCUCUGCCGCCCCCGUCCCUUGCCCCCCGGCCGGAUCCGCCCAGAUCCGGCCUCCCCCUCCCUCUCCCUGCCGGCCCAUGCCACCCCGACCCCCCUCUCCCCCGCCGCCCCUGCCUCCUCGGCACCCCGCCCCACCGCGCCGCCUCCCCUCCACUCCUUCGCCACCCCACCCCGCCGCCUACCCUCCUCUCCUCCCGCCACCCCGCCCCACCCCGUCGCCGCCCCCGCCUCCCUCCUUCCUCCCCCACCGCCGGCCUCCCCUCCUCCCCUCUCAGCCCCCUCCGACCACCUUCCGGCCCCCUCUGGUGAGCAUUUUUUUCUUUUUUUUUGCAUAUGAAAUGUACAAUUAUAUGGUAGCUUGUAGUUAGCUUAAUUAUAGUAGCUUAAUUGUUUGCAUAUAGUAGCUUAAUUUAUAUGCUAGCUUGUAGUUAGCUUAAUUAUAGUAGCGUAACUUGUAUGCAUAUACUAGCUUUAUUUAUAUGCAUAUUGUAGCUUAAUUUGUAUGCAUAAUUGUAAUUAAGUUUGUAUAACUGUUACUUAGGGUUUAGGAUUUAGGGUUAGGGUUUAAGGGUUGGGUUAGGGUUUAGGGUUUAGAGGGUUAGGGUUUAGGGUUUGUAUAACUGUUACUUAGGGUUUAACAUUAUAGAAGAUUGUUGCAAUAUCUGUGAUAAACAUUGUUAAAUGAUGGAUGUGGCAAUAUGCUUCGAUAUGUAUGCUUACGGAAGAUAUGAUUCGUACAAAGUUAUUUCUUUUGCAUGUAUGAUUAUUAGUUGCAUGUUGGAUGGAUGUGUGUAUUCAUGAUUCUUAUAUAACUUUAUGGUUCAUGUAGGAGUGACACCAACCUCGCCGCCAUCCAUCUACUUCGACUACUUCGUCUACGGUGAGCAUCUCCCUCUAUCUCGCCUUCCCCUUUUGCUCUGUCCCGGCCAUCGAGCCGAUGACACUUGUAAUUUAAAUGUCAAAGUCGCGUAACCCUGUUCGUCUCCCGUCCGAAAGGGUUACGUAUAUAGAUAUGCAAGUCUUUGCAUAUCUAUAAGGGUAACUCUUUCGGAUUGUCCACGUUUUUUGGAUAGCCCGAGGGUGUGUAGAUUGGGUUCGUUUCUGUGCUCUAGUCCGGUCUGAGACGUGAUUUCGACAGCAUCUCACCUUUGUUCUCCGGAUGCACAUUCUCUUGGUUUGUUGUCGAGACGUGUAUUUGGAGAACAGCGGGGAGGUGCUGCCGAAAUUUCGUUUCGGACCGGACUGGAGCACGGAAACGGCCCAAUCUACACACCUUCGGGUGGGAUUAGGACCUAUCCUUACCUAUUAGUGGAAUAGUUCAGCACAUGCCCUUUUCAAUGAAAAAAUAAAAUAUGUGAUGUAAUUAAUUUGACGAAACUAAUUACUUGUGUUAUUAAACCGUGUAUCCUUUUGGUGUCAUGUGGUAUCCCAAAAUAGCAGAGAAUGGCUGAUCGUCGAUGGAUGUACAAUGGCCGUGGUAGUCGGACAGACCGGGAUGAUGAUUGGAUGAAAAACACGGCAGAUUUUUUGGAGGUUGCAUUUGCUAGAGGAGAAGGGCGUGCUUGGUGCCCUUGCAGUCGUUGCAAUAACAAGACACGACACACAAAGGAUGAGAUGGGCAAUCACUUGCUGCUGUACGGGUACACGCCAAACUAUACCUGAUGGGGCUAACAUGGUGAGCAAGAGGAUAGAGGAAGAGAGGAGGUCGUGCGAAGGCGCACGGACGACUAUGAUACGGGGUUCCAGGACAUGCUGGAUGACUUGGAGGAAGCACACGUUCCAACGGAGGAAGAACCGGAGGCAAUCUCUAAGGCCUAUCUUGAUAUGCUGGCGGAGGCAAGCACAGAUCUACAUGCUCACAGAAAGGUCAAUAAGCUAGAUGCCGUUGCUAGAAUAAUGGCUGUGAAGACCCAAUUCAACUUGAGUAGAGAAUAGUUUGAUGUGAUGAUGGCAGUUAUCGAUAGUCUCCUCCCGGAAGGCCACCUUUUGCCUAAAAGCAUGUACGAGGCGAACAAAAUGCUUAGUGUACUUAAGUUGUCGGCUCAGUGCAUACAUUCAUGUAAAAAUGGAUGAACGGUGUUUGACAGAGAAUACGCGGAUGCCAAGCAUUGUCCGAAGUGCAAUUUCUCUCGGUAUGUCGAGGUAGACCAUGGGAAGGGUCUGGUGCAGUCAAAAAUACCCCAUAAAGUUCUUAGGAUGCUUCCAUUCUCAGAAAGAAUUGGCCGGAUGAUGCUAUCUGACGUGCCUGGCAAAGCUGUGACGCAUCACAAACUGGGGAAGAAAUACAAAUACGACAAGGAUCAUAGGCCGAUGUUGACACAUUCGUCGGAUGGCGAAGCAUGGAAGGAUUUUGAUCGGAAGUAUACGGAGAAAGCCGCGGAGCCUCGGAAUGUUCGAGUUGCCAUCGCAACUGAUGGGUUCAAUCCAUUUGGCAUGACGAGUGCCCCAUACAGCUGCUGGCCAGUGUUUGUUAUUCCGCUCAAUCUCCCUCCCGGAAUGAUAAUGCAACGGAAGUACAUGUUCUUGGCGCUGAUAAUUCCAGGACUAGAAUAUCCAGGGAAGAACAUUAAUGUGUAUAUUCGGCCCCUGAUGGAGGAGUUUAAAAGAGGUUGGGAGGAAAGGAUCAUGGUGUACGACAAAGCUACCAAGACAAACUUUAGGAUGCAUAUCUGGUUCCAGUUCUCCGUUCAUGACCACCCGGGGGGAUCUAUACUCUCCGGUAAAGGCUUGCAGGGGAAGUUCAUGUGCCCACACUGCGGGACUGAUCUGGAGUUCUAUCGGCUCGCUCAUGGUCGCAAGUAUUGUUGCUUCGAUCCGCAUAUGCGAUUCCUCCCGCCUAACCAUCCGUUCAGACAAGACAAGAAGAACUUCAGGAAAGGUGUGGUCGUCGAAGAGGGGCCACCCCGUUAUCGCACCGGUUCUGAGCUUCUUGCUGAGCUGGAUGCUCUUGUGCCUGACCCGACACAACCUGACAAGUUCCUGGGGUAUGGUGAUACACACAACUGGACUCACAAGUCAUGCUUCUGGGAGCUCCCCUACUUCAAAGACAUUCUUCUUCCACAUUGUAUUGAUGUGAUGCACACCGAAAAGAAUGUCGCCGAAGCCUUUUUCAACACAAUUCUCACCAUUAUUGACAAGACGAAAGAUAAUCCGAAGGCUAGAAAAGAUCAAGAAGAACUUUGCGAUAGACCGCAACUAAGCAUUAAAAAGGUGCCAGGCAGGUCAGAUAUCAGGCCAAAGGCCCCGUUUGCUCUCGACAGGGACCAAAAGAUGAAAGUAUUCCUGUGGUUCAAAGAGUUGAAGUUUCCUGAUGGGUAUGCAGCUAAUCUAAAGAGGGGAGUUAAUCUUGGCACCAUGCGAAUCAACAGCCUCAAGAGUCAUGACUCUCACACAUGGCUUGAGCGUUUGCUGCCGGUGAUGCUUCGAGGCUAUGUGUCGGAGGAUAUUUGGCGGGUGUUGGCAGAGUUGAGCAAUUUCUUCCGCCGGCUUUGUGCUAAAGAACUAUCCCCCACCUUGCUAGAAGAAAUGGAAAAACAAGCCCCCAUGUUGCUCUGCAAGCUAGAGAGGAUCUUUCCGCCGGGCAUGUUCGUGACGAUGCAACAUCUAAUUAUCCACCUCCCGUACGAGACUCGGAUGUGGGGCCCUGUGCAGCAUCGUUGGAUGUAUGCCAUCGAGAGACUUAUGAAGACCCUUCGAGCUAAAGUAAAAAACAAAGCUAAAGUUGAAGCAUGCAUAUGGGAGGCAAGCCGUCUCGAGGAAGUGUCAAACGCAACGGCGAGUUACUAUAGCUCCGAUAUUGCCACGCUGCAUAAUCCAGUAUCCCCCUACAAUCUUGGCAACCCUGAAGAUGAGUCCAAGCUGAGCCUAUUCAGAGGGCAACUUGGAACUUCUAAAGCCGAGAAAAUAGUCACCCUGUCCUACCAAGAGUGUCGAUCCCUUACGUUAUAUAUCUUGAACAACCUCGACGAAGUCCAGCCGUACAUCAAGUAAGUGCCCAGUAAGUAAUUCCUCUUUGCAAUUGAUCACAAGUUUGUCUCUAACUCAUCUCGUUCUCAUCGCGUCAGCACAUUCACUCAACUCAACUGGAAGCGAAUAAGAAAACCCGAUCCUCUAGAACAUGAUGCCCUUCUUAGAGAUGGUCCAAAUGGCCCUGGAUCUGGUUUCAUUGAGUGGUUCCAAAAUCAAGUACUUUCUUUCUUAGCUCCUAGUUGUUUCAACACCUAGAGGCCUUGCGUGCGACUAAUACAUGAUGCUUUUCUGCUUAAACCGGUAGGCUAACAACAAUGUGUCUAUGAGCUCCCAAUUGAGACAAAUUGCCAAUGGUUUUGAUGUCAAGGUCGGUUCAUUCAAAUCCUACGACGUCAAUGGAUAUCGAUUCCAUACAACAUGGUAAGAGCUCAGUCGGCCCAAUCGAACCUCAACAAAUUCCGGGGUGUUUGUAGAAUGCGGUGGAGAUGACUUCUACGGAAGGGUUGAGGAGAUAUACGAACUACAAUACCGCGGGCCCAAACCUCCAAAGGUCAUUGUAUUCAAAUGCCGUUGGAUCGAUCCGAAACACGUUAACAAGGAUGACACAAUUGGCCUAGUCGAAGUAAAACGAGACAGUGUCUUCGAAUGCGAGGAUGUAUAUAUUGUAGCUCAACAAGCCACACAAGUUUAUUUCCUCCCGUACCCGUGCACUAAAGUGGCUCGCCUUUAGGUUUUGGAUGUCGUGUAACACGUGCAGCCACAUGGUAAACUACCAGAACCAAACGACCAAGAUUAUCUGCCGCAACGAGAGCCUGGCGACGAGUUUUUCCAAGAAGCCGGCGGGGACACAAGUGAUUUCAUGGUACGGUAUACCGAUUCUCCGGGCACGGAAGUAGACAAUGACGGUGAAGGUGACGAGGUUGAUGGUGAUGGUGACGACGACGAUGAGGAACAGGCUAAUGUUGAUAGUGAUGUUGAGAGUGAUCUUGAUGCGGCUCUUCUAGUUGAUCCCGAUGACGAAGACUACAAUUCACAUGCCCAUACUUAGUUGUUUCAUUUGUUUACAUCAAGUUGUAAUCCGUCCUACUUAAUUAGUUAGUUCGUUGAAUCCCAACUUUACUAUAUUGUACAUCAAGUUGUUGUUUCAUUUAUUUACAUUUAGUUGGUGUUUCUUUUAUUUACAUCAAGAUGUUGUUUCAUUUGUUUACAUCUACUUGUAUAAUCCAUCCUACUUAAUUAGUUAGUUCGUUGAAUCUCAACUUUACUUGUAUUGUACAUCAAGUUGUUUCAUUUGUUUACAUCAAAUUGUUGUUUCAUUUAUUCACAUCUACUUGUAUAAUCCGUACUAACUUGUUCACUUUUCCUCAUGGCAGGUGAUUGAACCAUGGUGGGCGGGCGUAGUACCUCUCAGAGACGUGUCGAAGAGCUAUACCCUCUGCCUAAAGUGAAGGCCAAACCCCCGAAGAAAACCCUUGCACGUAAAGCAAAGGGCAAAGCUAGGAGGGAGCCCUCUCCCUCGCCGCCGCCACUCGAUUGAGGAGAUUUGGGAGAAGGUGAGGGAGAUGGAGAUGGAGGCGGGGGACUUUGGUGAGGACGAGCUGCAGGAUCACUCUGCUGGUACCUCCACGGGAGCCUCGGCGGGGGCUGCCUCCAGCUCUGGUAAAGACAAAGUGUACCAUGAUGAUCCUACUCGUCUCCCCACCAAGCGGCCCUCUUGUGAAGAUGAGAAGCCAGUCAUUCGUCCAAUAGCCAAGAUGUACCUUUCUUGAUCCUAGAAUUUAGUUUACAUCAAAUUGUUGUUUCAUUUAUUAACUGCAAUUGACUUGUCUUAUCCUUGUGUAGGGGCUGGGUGGUUGUUGCACCCGGGUGUUUUACGAUGCAACCCAAGGCUUUUCUUGGGGUCCUCCUCAAGGACCACUUCACUGGCAUGGUUCUUGUUGAAGGAAAGGAGGAGCCAAAGGUAGCCCGGACAUGGGCACACUACGUGGCCCAACCGGACUUUCAAGAUAGAGAGAAUGUGAUGUAUGCGAACAAAGCCGAGCGGGUGAAGGGCGAAUUUUGGGUAAGUCGCCUUCGCACAAUGCAUACAUUAGUCAAAACAAUUGUAAUGCAAAAUAUAUAACUCAUGAAUGGAUCCGUUUUGUCUAAUUGCAGCGGUUCUUCAAGCUGGCGGAAGGCUAUGAUGAUGCAACAAUUGAACGGCACUUCGAGGCAAGUGUGAAGAAGGCAUUGUCCGAGAUGUUCUAUCACGCGCGUGUCUACGCCGUGAGGAAGUACUAUGCCGAAGUGAAGAAACAGAGAUUGGAGAAAGCACAAUGUAUCGUGACGCAUCUCGAGCACGAACAGUACAUGCAGGUAAAGUAAAAGAAAGUGCAUUUCCUUGCUUAAUAAGGGCUAACGCUUAACUUCUUCGUGUCUGGGCUUGUACUUGUUCAUUUAGGUUCCUCUGCACUGGUGCAUCUCGCACUUAAAUGCCUGGAAGGCGCUGGUGGACUCGUGGUGCUGCUCGGAGUACGUGGAGACGCGCGGGCUCCUUAGGGAGAGGAGGUUGGCCAUCCCAAGCGGAAUGCACCAUCAAGGGAGCGUGAACCUGCAGGGCUACACCAACAACUAUGUAUGUGUUUUUCUCCCAAAAAGAUCUUCAUGUGCGAGCCUCACCCCUAACUAUCUUGUUGUUGCUUGUUGUUUCAGGCGAAGGCUCAUCCGGAUAAAGAACGCCUCACCAGUUUCACGGCUGUUGACUGCGCCCUCAGGGGAAAGGCGAGCACCGUGUCGGAGUACAGUGCGAACGCCCCGCCCGAAGCCUACGCCACCCCAGCUGACCAUGCCAAGGUCACAGGCUACGCGGAGGUGUUUGAGGAGGUGCACGGCCCCGGGGCUGAUCCUAGCCGGCACGACCUUGAUGUGGAAGUGGUCGUGAGGGUGGGAAGAGGCAAGAAGCACGGUAGGCUGGUCUUCAGGAACGGAACCAUUGAUUCGAGCACCAUUCCCAGCCUACCUCACCUAAAGGCUACUUCCACGAGCUCGAGUGCUAGUAUACGCAGUCGUCCAGGUGCACGGCAGUUCUCACAGCAGGUUAGUUGUUCUUCAUUCACCAUCUCGUGUCUUUUUGCAUUUCAUUGUAACGACAAUGAACUUGCAAUGGCAUUGCAGGAGAUGGAGGAUAUGGUGGCGGCUCAGGUGCAGGCUCAGAUGGAGGCUCAGAGGCAGGCUCAGGAUGCUCAGAUCCAGGCUCAGGUGGCGGCUCAGGUCUAGGCCGCACCGAGGGCUCAGUACGACCACCUUAGGGUAUGUUUACUGCACAUAAUAGCCAAGAAAGCGUGGUAUUAGUUCCGUAACUGCAACUCUUUGUCUUUUCAAUAUGCAGCCGUACCUCGCCGCCACCUCUCAAGAGCCGCCUACAGCACCACCGCUGUUCGACUUGGCGUUUGUCAAUCUCCAGAUUGAGCAUGCUCCACAGCCUUCUCCACAGACUCUGGUGAGUUCACUCGAAACAUUUCAAUCUCCAUUCAUGACUUUUUUUGCUUUCAUUGAGGGUUGGGCUCAAUGCCUAAUCAUCUGUGCAACAACAUCAAUCCGGCCGUGGCUCGUACGACCCUUCUUCACACGCAAGCCUUGCUGGAGGCAACCCUCUUGGCCAGUCACCUGCUCCUAGACACUGACUUGGGUAUGUUGCCACAAACUUGUCUCAUCUCGAGGUCUGUUGUUUUGAAAACUUACUUUCUUGUCUCCACACGUAGAAACAUAACCUAGCAUCACAUAGUGACAUAGAUCCCAUUUUAGAGCCAAGAGGGCUCACUUGGCUCCAAAAUGGUGCCUUGGUGGCAUUUUUGGGCAUUUGGCUCAUUUAUGCCACCAGGGCACCAAUUUGGAGCCAAAUGAGCCAUAUUGGCUCUAAAAUGGUGCCUUGGUGGCAUUUUUGGGCAUUUAGCUCAUUUAUGCCACAAGAGCACCAUUUUGGAGCCAAUAUGGCUCAUUUGGCUCCAAAAUGGUGCCUUGGUGGCAUUUUGGAGCCAAAUGAGCCAUAUUAGCUCCAAAAUCGUGCCUUGGUGUCAUUUUGGCCAUUUGGCUCCAAAAUGGUGCCCAGGCACCAUUUUGGAGCCAAAUGAGCCAUGUUGGUUCCAGAAUGGAGCCAUGGUGGCAUAAUGGAGCGAAAUGGCUCGUUUUGGAGCCAAAAUGGUGCCUUGGUGGCAUUUUUGUGCCAUUUGGCACAUUUAUGCGACCAAGGCACCAUCUUGGAGCCAAAUGAGCCAUAUUCACUCCAAGAUGGUGCCAUCGUGCCAUUUUAGAGCAUUUAGGGGUCAUUUGGUUUUAAAAUGGUGCCCUGGUGGCAUUUUUGGAGCCAAAUGAGUCAUAUUUGCUCAAAAAUGAUUCCAUGGUUGCAUAAUGUAGCCAAAUGUCUCGUUUUCGAGCCAAGAUGGUGCAUUGGUGGCAUUUUUGGGUCAUUUGGCUCAUUUAUGCGACCAUGGCACCAUCUUGGAGUCAAAUGAGCCAUAAAUGGCUCUUUGGAGCCAUUUAUUGGAGCCAUUUAUGGCUCAUUUGGCGUCAAAAUGGUGCCUUGGUGGCAUUUCUGUCGCCAUUUGGCUCAUUUAUGUGACCAUUGCACCAUUUUUGAGCCAAAUGGCUAAGUUUCGCUUCAAAUGCUACAAUUGUCACUUCAAUGCCUUUAUUUAUAUCUAAUUAUGCUAUUCCAACUCCAUUUCAUAGGUUUCUACUGGUGCAAUGGGUGGUGGAUGUUGAAGGUGCCCGAGUCACCUUCUUGUCAUGUAUGAACACUAGCUUGUAAUAUGUUGCUACCAUGUGAUGAACACUUGUAAUAUUUUUGUUGUGAGAUAUGUGAUGUUUUCGAACUUUCAUCAGAUGUUUAUAUGCUUGUGAUGUGAAUGCGUUAUGUGGGCGUCUAUGAUUUUCUGUGGAUGUAUUGUUGUGAUGUGGAUGAACAUAUAUCUGUAUAUAUGUGCUGUGAAAAUAUUUCACAUUGCUGCGAUAAAAAAAAAUACCCUUUGCCGACGGCCACAGUCUUGGCCGCCGGCAAAGGCGGAGCGCAGGCACGCACCAGAUCGUGCCACGUGCCCGCCCUUUGCCGGCGGCUUUUUCCCUGGCUGCCGGCAAAGGCCCGACAUGUGGGCCCAGCCGUUAACGGCACCGCAUGCCGUGAUCUCUUUUUCUUUGUCGGAGGUCGUCGUUUCGGUGCCGGCAAAGGCUUCGCCGACGGACCCGUGAGAAAGCCGCCGGCAAAGAAUCCUUUGCCGGUGGAUCUCCGUGCCGACGGGCUUUGCCGACGGCCCCGAAAAAAACCCGCCGGCAAAGGCUUUGCCUGAGGCAAAGGUGCCUUUGCUGGCGGCCCCUGGCCCCCCCGCAAAGCCGGUUUCUCCAGUAGUGGCGACGAACAAGCAGGCGCGGCGGCGGAGCAGAUCAGCAGCGGCCACGAAGCAUCUCACAGCGGCCGCGAAGGAGCAGGCGCGGCGGCGGACGAGCAGCAGGUCGCCCACCAGUUCAGUACACCACCAUACGCGGGCGCCCAUGCCCCUGCCCGGCCGACGCCCUCAUUCCUCCUGCUCCUCCUCCACCCUCCGUCUCAGCCUCCCAGCAACCCCCAGUCCCAGUCUCCCUUCGAUGAUGCAUCAUGCAUGUGUUUGUGUGGCUGGGCAGUGUGCUACGGGCUGCUGUUGUGCCGUGCUAACAUGGUAAGGCUGCUGACAUGCUAAUACUAUGCUACUAAGACACUAAGCAUUAAGCAAGUUUCUUGAGGCUUCAUCGAUGUCGGCUAUUGAAAGUAGUUUGAAACCUGAAUGUGUGUUGUGUGACUUCUGAAGUUGGGAUGCACCGAUUGCUUCAAUUUUGUCUCUCUUUACCUGAAUGUGUUAUGUAAUCUAUGUACUGAUAUAUCUUCUAUGUUGUCAAAAAGUUCCCCAAAGAAAAUAGGCCAUGGCAAAAAAGUUAGUUAAUAACUGGAUUAUAGAUCAACUUAUCAGCUACUCACUCCGAUUCUAAAUUGUUGUCGAAAUAUUACAUGUAUCUAGACAUUUUUGAAGAAUAUAUACAUCUAUAUUUGGACAAAUUUGAGUCAAGAAUUUAGGAUCAGAGUGAGUAUUUAUGUUACCGAUUUUCCUUGACAAGUAGGUGUAGUUAACAUGGCAAGUACGUGUAGAUAAUCUGGCAAGUAGGCACAGUUAGACCGGCAAGGAGGUGAAGGUAACCUGACAAGCAGGUGCAGGUAAUCUGGCAAGUAGGUGUAGCUAAUCUGGCAAGUAGACACAGUUAAAUCGGCAAGUAGGUGAAGCUAACCUGGCAAGUAGGUGUAGAUAAUCUGGCAGGUAAGCACACUUAAACCGACAAGUAUAGGUAAUCUGGCAAAGAGGCACAGUUAAACCGGCAAGUAGCUAAAGAUAACCUGGCAAGUACGUGUAGAUAAUCUGACAGGUAAACAACCGGCAAGUGUAGGUAACCUGACAAGUAUGCAUAGUUAAACCGGCAAGUUGGUGGAGGUAACCUGGCAAUUAGGUCUAGUUGACCGGCAAGUAGACACAGUUAAACCGGCAAGUACGUGAAGAUAACAUGGCAAGUAAACAUAUUUAAACCGGCAAGUAGGUGAAGGUAACCCGACAAGUAGGUGUGGAUGAACUGCCAAAUAGGUGUUGAUGAACCGGCAAGUAGGUGAAAGUAACCUGGCAAGUAGGUAUUUUUAAACCGGCAAGUAGGUGAAGGUAAACUGGCAAAUAGGUAGGCACAGUUAAACCGGCACAUAUGUGUAGUUAACUUGGUAAGUAGGUGUAGUUAAUCUGACAAGUAGGCACAGUUAAACCGGCAGGUAUGUGGAGGUAACCUGGAAAGUAGGUAUAGUUGACCGGCAAAUAAACACAGUUAAAUCUGCAAGUAGGCACAAUUAAACCGGCUAAUAUGCGAAGGUAAUCCGGGAAGCAGGUGAAAGUGAUGCUGCUUUCCGGGACUGAUGUCUAUCCAUGAAUUUCCAAUACUAUUAGAUUCGAUCAAAUUUUAUAAUGCGAUGCAAAAUAGAUGCAAUUUAAUGAGAAAAAAGGCUAAAGCAAAUUCGGCCUAAGGCCUAGAAAGAUAGGCAUCACGUGCUGGACUAAAUCGGUUGUGCUGCUUGUGGGCUUGUAGGGAUUGGGCUCCUGGGUUGUGUGGGCUGCGCUGCGAACGGCCAGGGAGCGCGCGUGCUAACGAACAGGCAUCGAGCGAGAAGACCACGCGGGGAUUGUAGGGAUUGGGCUCCUGGGGAGGGUUACGUGGGGCACGCCGCUGGAUAGUACGCUCCAACAACAAUGCAAAUCGAAUUUUCAGCUCUCGGUGGCAAUUCUGUUUCUUAGGGUGGUACAAUGCAAAUCAAAUUUUCAUUUUCAAUACCAUUAAGUAGUAGGAGUAUGAGAAUUUUCUGAAGUGCAUGCAUGCAGCCCAGCUCAGACGGCCCUGAUUAUCUACCAUUCUACCCGUCAGUGAUAGGUGACGUUUGUACGCACCGGCCCAAAGAUUAUUCAUGUUUAAUUGAAAUAAAAUAUGGAGUUGAAUAAUGAAAUAUCACAAAUUUUAAACAUAUAGCUCUCGGUUACUAGCCCCCGUGCAUAUUAUAUGCACGGUUGAUGACUAGUUUGGAUAGAAAAUAAAAAUAGCCAAACGAAUUUGCUUCAGCUUUCAAGGUAGCUCUGUUUCUUGCCUACAAUGCUUUUACUAUGACUGAGAAGCAUCAAUAAUAUUUUGUCCUUUAAAUAGCAACGUCGAAUAUGACAGAUGGUUUGCUUCCAAAUUGAGAAAGCUCGAUCGAUGCACGGCUACAGAAUUCAGAACAAUAUUUGGAGAUAUUGGAGGCGAACAAAAGCAUCCGGUUUCACAAUAUUGUACUCCCUCCAUCUCAACAUUUCAAAAUAAGUGACGCGGAUUUACAUAAGAAUUUAUACAAAUACACAUACUUAUUUUGAGACGGAGGAAGUAGAUAUAUAUGAACACAUGUUCUGUGGGAGAGAAAACGCGACUCUGUCUUUGCUUGAUCAGCCACGAACUAGAUCCUUGGAGGUGUCACAGAGUAACUAGAGUACGUAGAUCCUUUCGUGCAUUUCGUUAGUGUUAAUUACUCCCUCUGAUUCUAAAUUAUUGUCGAAAUAUUACAUGUAUCUAGACGUUUUUUAAGAAUAGAUACAUCCAUAUUUAGGCAAAUUUAAGUCAAGAAUUUAGAAUCAGAGGGAGUAGCUGUGUAGGUGGCUGCUAUGCAGAGAGCAUUGACUUCAUAACGUACUGUACGAUAACAGAUAAGUCUACAUUACCUCUGAAUUCAGGGGUGGUUCAGAUUAACCUAUGAAUUCGAAAACUGUUUUGAAUAUCCCCUCAACUCUUAAUUAAUACCGUUUAGAUUACCCUCUUCCCCAUCUCUGGCUGGUUUGACCGGUUUUGAUUGUCACGUAGCUCGCUGGUGCAUGGCAACUUGGCAUCUCGCCACAGCUCGCUGAAUCUCCAGCCAAAACUUUAUUGGUUUCACAUACCAUUAGAAUCAACAAUAAUGCUAACAUAGUAAUUCAAUCAGUUCAAGUCCCAUGCUCAGGAAACCGAGAGUUAAGUGCAUGCACGCAUGCUACUGCCAGUAGCAGCUAGCGUCUCUGCUUGCAUCUCUCCUCGCCGAUCGAACCGAGAGUAGUUGGGGGUUGUUUGUUGUGGUUCUCGGAUUCUUCCGUUUCUUCUUAAUGAUGAAAGCGACGAUUCUAAAGAAAGAGAGUAUUGCAAGAGUUUCCAUAUCGACCGGCUUCAUCUCUAUAAAUUCAAGAAUCUCACAUGCACCUCUCUUCAAUUCAUGUCCACUACUUCUGCACGCCCAGUAACAAUGGCAUUCUUAUUCUUGCCAGGGCAACUCAUCUCCACGCUUGCGCUACUACUCCUAGUUCUAGCUUUGUACAUCAUCAAGUGUAGUCGACCAAAGGAUCCAUUACAGCCGACGAACUGGCCAAUAAUCGGCGGUCUCCCUUUCAUCGUCCACAACCUCCACGGAUUGCACGACCAUGUGACCGACGUCCUAGCUUCCUCAGGGUACAGUUUCAAGGUGACCAUAGCCAGCAUGGGGACCUUGGUAACCUGUGACCCAGCCAAUGUGCGGCACAUCUUCACCUCAAACCAUGCAAACUACCCCAAGGGCGAGGGCUUCGCCGACAUCUUCGACGUGGUGAAUGGCUCUCUGUUCACCGUCGACGGCGAAUCCUGCCUCCGGCAACGUGCAACGUCCAACCGUGCUUUGAGCAGCCCGGGGUUUGUUGCCUUCACGACAAACUACUGCUGCGACAAGGUGGGGAAAGGCCUCCUACCCUUCUUGACCCGUGUGGCGAGAACCGGGAAUCCGCUUGACAUUAAUGAUCUCAUGGGGAGGCUUGUUUUCGACUUGUACGCCACGUCCGUCUUCGGCGUGGACCCUGGUCUCCUAUCCCUCGAUAUGCCUUCGGUGCACCUUGCGGCCAUGGACACGGUCAUGGAGGUGGGCUUCUUCCGGACAAUUGUUCCGGCAUUUUGCUGGAAAUCGAUGAGGCGCCUAAACAUCGGUCCCGAGAGGAAGCUCGCCUCGGCGCAAGCGGUGCUUCGUAACUUCGCCAUGGAAAUGAUUGAAAGGAGGAAGACCAGCGGUGCCCAUAUUGCUCCCCAAGAACAAGCGACGGCUUCAUCUGUGGACAUCCUGUCAAACUUUAUCCAUGACCUCGACUACAAUAAUGAUGAUCUGCUCCAGGCAACACUCAUCUUACAUAUGAUUGCCGGUAGGGACACCAUCGGCACAACCUUGCCAUGGAUCUUCUACAACCUUGCCAAGAACCCACAUGUUGUGUCAAAGAUACGCAAUGAAUUGGCGCCCAUCGUGUCACGCAAACAAACCACUAUUGCUAACGACCCUAUGACGUUUGAGCCAGAGGAGGUCAAAGCCCUAGUCUAUCUGCAAGCAAGCUUGUUGGAGACACUAAGGUUGUACCCUCCCAUCCCUUUCGAGCGAAAGGAGGUGGCCGCCAGCGAUGUGAUGCCAAGUGGCCAUGAGGUGUGUGCCAGGGACAUCAUCAUCGUUUCCCUCUACUCCAUGGGUAGAAUGGAGGAUGUGUGGGGGGCUGACUGCCGAGAAUAUAAGCCAGAGAGGUGGUUCUUAAAGGAUGGAGCCAUGCUUAGACAUGUUCCCUCUCACAAGUUCUUGGCGUUCAACUCGGGGCCAAGGCUGUGCCUCGGUAAGAACAUUGCUAUCACACAGAUGAAGACCAUUGUCGCUUCGGUCGUGUGGAGUUUUGACAUGGAGGUGUUAGGUGCUCAGGUGAUCGUCGAGCCAAAGCUAUCGUGUCUUCUGCAAAUGAAAAAUGGGCUCAAGGUGAAAGUGAAGAAGCGAGAAAUCUAAUAUCUAGGGAUCUAUGUUGGGCGUCCCAAAGAAUAAUGCAAGCGGUAUAUGUGCGCUUGUGGUGUUUCUCAUGUAUCUCACAAAUAUCUUGGGGUAAUUGUAAUACUGCAUUCGCACAAUAAAAAUUUCAUUUGUAUAUCUCGUUAAAAAGUAUUCAUAGAUAAAACAGAAGUUUGACAACUUGCCAUGGGUAUUUCAAAAGUACAAACUGCGCCAGAAAUGAAAUCGAUCCCGUUAAUAUCUCUAGAGGAACUCGGUCGAUCUUCAACACUAACCGAGAACAACCCUUGGGCAGCUAGUCCAACAACGGUGUUUGACACAUCAACACCUAGCUUCAACGUUUGGACGGAUCAAUUAAUCGUCAGGGGAGAGGAGACUUGAAGAAGAAACUGAGGUGGGGAAGACAUAUGGUUGGCAUGGACCCGAUCUGUCAUAAUUUGGGGAAAACCGGAGGAAAACACUAGACGGGGCAAUUUAUGUCAUAAAUUUGAUUAAACUGGGUAAGCUUAUAGAACUUCUGUUAAACGGGGUAUACUGUGUCACAAAAGUGAAAUUAGGAUGUAGAAAAUGGAAUUCUCUUUUAAAAUAAAUAUUUGCUAUGGUUAGCACCAGCCACAUCUCAAGGUAUCAAUCAUACAUAAAAACUCAAGUUAUCAGAAAGUCGCUUUUAACUUCAGGGGUGUAAGUGCAAAAAAAACUCAACUAACAGGUGGGCAAAGUUUUAACUUAGAAACGUGGGGGCCGUCUUCUUCUUCCUCCUCCGGCCGCUGUCUCGUCUCGCGCCCCUCGCUGCCUCCUCGCGGAACAAAAUCCUAUUCACUCCGUUUCAUAAUUCUUGUCGAAAUAUUACAUGCAUCUAAAUGCUUUUUAGGAAUAGAUACAUCCAUUACAUCCAUUUUUAGUCAAAUUUAAGACAAGAACUAUUAUAGAACAGAGGCAGUACGCGUUAAGAGGCCUUCCAUCUUCACCUAAAAAGAUUGCCAAGUCUCUUGUCCCGUGCACAUAUGUCAGUGUGGACUGCACCGCGCACUAGUUCUGCCAAGUACGACGUGCGCUCCAACGCCUUCCGCCGGCUCUCCGUCUUCACCGUCGACACGUGGUGCUCGUCCGGCACCGUGGCGCGCGAUGGCACCGUCGUCCGGCCAGACCGGCGGCUGGAACGGCGGCUACCGCAAUGCGCGGACCAUGCGCGCCUGCGUCGACGACACCUGCGACUGGAACGAGACGCAGGACGCGCUCGCCGUGAACCGAUGGUACGCCACCAACCAGAUCCUCCCAGACGGCCGCGCCUUCAUUGUCGGCGACCGGAGGCACUUCAGGUACGAGUUCUUGCCAGAGCAAACUCAUCUACACGCAUGUGCUUCUUCUAGUUCUAGCUUACAGCAGAUCAAAGAAUCCAGUGCUGCCAACGGGCUGGCCAAUAAUCGGUACUAUUGGACAUGUCAGGAUCAGGACGUACUCGAAACAGCGGGAACACGUACGUGCUCCUAGAUGUUAGGCAUGUGCGAAGUAAAUUUCAUGACAAUGUGGUUAUGUCUAAGGUCAACAAGGGCCGUUAGACUUAGACCAUGAGAGAAGCUCAUGUUUAAGGGAAGGGUUUUUUAUUUCUGUGUCCCUCGUCCCUUAGCUGUACUCAGAAAUACACAGGUUUCAUAAUUGUGCUCGCUUCUAGACUUGUUCGCUUUCUGCUUCCUCGCAAAUGCCCUAACGGAGCAACUGCUAACGGUCAAGCCCCUUUGACCGUUUGCUUCCGACGGGUGGGCCGCCGGUAGUGCUGACAGGUGGGGCCGGAGCCACGUUUCUGGCGUGUGGGGCUGCAAGGAGACCGUGCAAGCGGGCAGGACUUAACGGGUCUGGUUACCUUACAUGCGGGCCACGUCCGUGCGUCCUGAUAGGUGGGGCGGUCAUCGUUAAUUAAUGACAGGUGGGCUGAGGAAAGGGGGACCGCUGGGGCCGAGCCAGAGGAUGACAGGUGGGCCGAGCCAAAGGAUGACAGGUAGGACAAGACUUCAGAUGACAGGCGGGGCUAGUGUCAUCUUUUCUUACAUGUGGAGCCUACUUGCUCUCCUUUACUCUCAUCCAAAUCCCGACCAGAACCCUAAAUUGGCGGAGGAUGGCGGCGGCGCUGAGGCUAGUAGGUGUGUAGAAAUGAACGGGAGGCGGCGAUGGCGAGCACUAACCCACCUCCGUACCACAACGUCGGUAGCUGCCGCCGAUUUGAGGAGGAGAUAUUUUGCCGCGGGGAGUCUGAUAUCUGGCCCGAUGUGGCCGAGAUAGUGAUUUCCCGCACCUCAAGAAUGGAAGAGAAGGCGGCGAGGCUGCGAGGUAAAGCCGUCAUUCCUACCAUCCAUACAGGAUCAACGCUCAAUCUGCCGGCCACUUCGGGUGAAGAGGUCAUGGCAGCUCUGAACUAGCGCCGCAACUUCAAAAGGGGAGUGCGCAUCAUGGUAUGUCUUGCGCCCGGCAAGUUUUUGAUUCGCUUUGAUUCGAGUGAUGAUUGCACGGCAGCGGUGAUGCAAUCGAUGCGCAUCAGGUGCCCUGCCAGCGACAUCUCGUUUCGCCCCUGGACCUCCAUCUUCCGUGGAGAGGAAUCAAAACUGCCUUUUAGCUGUGUUCUUAGCUUGGAUGGACUGAUGGAGGAUGCGCAAGAGCUGGAAUUUGUGAAGAAUUUGAUUAAUCAGCUAGGAGAUGAGUUCGUGGCAAUUCUGCGUAGGACUGAUCCACGCUGCGUGAAGCUCAGGCAUGAAUGCGUGAUCCUUGUGCCAUCCCGAAGCGGUUGCUGAUGAGAGUGCCUACUUCGGCCACACAACCAGCUCCUGAAUGUGCUGAUGAGCUCAUUGAUGACUCAAUUGCAGCGGGGACAGAACCAGAAACCAGACGUGCUGUGUCGUUCGGGGUCAUCGUCCACGUCCAUGAAGUGGUCGAUAGGUUUCAUCUUCUUACUGAUGGUUCAGACCACAACAACAGGGACUACUCUGAUUCUUUUUCAAAUGAUGAAGCUUAUCUGGACUAUGGUGGUUCUGGGAAUACCGCGAGGAGAUCUCACUCGCCUCCAUGAGUUCCCCUGUUUUGCUGGCGCUGUAGAUGGCUCAGGUCCUCCAAAAGGAGGGGUUAAUCCAUGUUGAUGUUGUCUUCUGUUUAAUCCAUGUUGAUUUUGAUGUAUGUUGUCUAUGUAUUAGUUUGUUGUUCGAAGACUACCUAUUUGUACUGAUCAAGAGCAGGUUGUUGCUGUUUAUCUGAACCUGGGCAUGUAUAGUUAUCAGCACUUAUCAUUUCCUAUGAAUGUCUUUCGCAAUUUAACUUCCUCCAAAUUGAUUUCUGACUGCACAAAUGAAUAGCAAAUGGAAAGUUAUGCAAAAUUACAAAAUUUCAAUAUGUUUUCAGAAGGUUGACUUUUGUUGACCAAGGAAUUUAUAGUGACAUUUGGCUGUCACAGCCCACCCAAAUGGACAAUUUUGGAGAAAACUUAGAAAGUGAACUUGUUCCAAAUUGAUUUUAGAUUGCACAAAUGGAAUCCGAAUGGAAAUUUAUGCAAGAUGACCAAAUUUCAACUUGUUUCGUGAAGGUUGACUUUAGUUGACCAGGGAAAAAAUAGCCACAUUUGGUUGUCCCAGCACACCAAAAUGGCUGCAGUUGGAAGAACCCUCAAGAUUCGACCUUCUCCAAAUUAUUUUUUGAUUGCACCAAUAGAAAGUACAUCAAAGUUAUGAACACUACUGAAAUUUCAAACCCAUUUGAGAAAGUUGACUUCGCGUUGACCAGGAUUAAUUUAAAUCCACUCAAAUCCAUUCAAAUCUGCAAAACUAAAGAGUUUUUUUGAACUUUUCUUCGAGGAGUCAAGUACUAACAAUGUUUGUAUACUUCCAAUAGUUGUUCCACAACUUCAAAUCAUGUAUGUCGUAUCAUUUUGGCCCAAACACAACAAAUUUAACUGGAUUUGAAAUUCAAAAAAUAUGAAAAAACGUCCAAAUUGAAAAUGCUUUUGCAUACAUGCAAUACAUAUCCAAAUGUUAUUAGUGUGCCAAAUUUUACAAGAUUUGGACAAAGUUUUAAAUUCAAAUGUCAAAAUGAGUUCAUUUCUCCAACAUCCCCCUAUGUGGUGCAAUGUACAUGAAGUACAUUGUGAAAUUUAGAUAAUGCUCUGAUAUUUUUUAUGUGAUGAAGUAUCACUAAAAAUUGACAAUUGCAUAAAAUCAUAAUUUUCGGACAACUUUUUCAUGUUAUUAACAUUUUUAUACUUUUGAGUUAAGUGUAAAUCACAGUAAUGAAGUUAUAGAACAUUUAAUUUUCAUUUCUGAAAUGGUUUGCUAAUUUUUGAAUAUCAAAUUAACUAAAAUUUGCUUGUUUUCACAUUUUUGAUGUCAAACGUGUGCAAUACUAAUCCUAGAAGAUUUAGACAGCUUUGUGAGUGUAUCACAAGUGUUUCCACCAAAUAUGAGAUUUUUUGGACUUGGGAUACUAUAUCUUCGUACAUUCUUUGAAUUUUUGAGUUUAUUUUAAAAAAAUACAUAAACCCAUCGAACUCAACGGAAUGAUGAGAAAAUCGAUGAUGAAAAGUUAUGUCUGCACCAUACAAGUCGAGCAAAAUUGGAUUCCAUCCGGUUCAGUCCAAUUUCAAACCUAUUUGUGCAUGAAAACAUGAAUUUCAGCAAACCAAAAUGGCCGUAGGUGGAAGAACCCCCAAGAUUCGACCAUCUCCAAAUUAUUUUCUGAUUGCACCAAUAGAAAGUACAUCAAAAGUUAAAAACACAGUUAAAAUUUCAAACCCAUUUGAGAAAGUUGACUUCGCGUUGAGCAGGAUUUAAAUCCAUUCAAAUCUGCAAAAGUAAAGAGUUUUUUUGAACUUUUCUUUGAGGAGUCAAGUACUAACAAUGUUUGCGUACUUCCAAUAGCUAUUCCACAACUUCAAAUCAUGUAUGUCGUAUCAUUUUGGCACAAACACAACAAAUUUAAAUGAAUUUGAAAUUCAAAAAAAUAUGAAAACACGUCCAAAUUGAAAAUGCUUUUGCAUACAUGCAAUACAUACCAAAUGUGCUUAGUGUGCCAAAUUUUACAAGAUUUGGACAAAGUUUUAAAUCCAAAUGUCAGAAUGAGUUCAUUUCUCCAACAUCUCCGUGAGGUGUUUCAGAAACACCUUAGGGAGAUGUGGUGCAAUGUACAUGAAGUAAAUUCUGAAAUUUAGAUAAUGUUCUGAUUUUUUUACGUGAUGAAUGUAUCACUAAAUAUUGACACUUGCAGGAAAUCGUAAUUUUCGGACAAAUAUUUCAUAUUAUUAACAUUAUUAUACUAUUGAGUUAACUGCAAAUCAUAGUAAUCAAGGUAUAAAACAUUUAAUUUUUAUUGAAACCUAUGUGUUUGCGUUCUAAUAGGUUACAAUGGGUCCAAUGGACCUUUCUUAAAUUAAUUUCUUGUCGUAAAUGUAUUGAAAAAAGUGAUUUUUCAUUUAAUGCCGAAAUGUGCUGAAAAUCCAAAAUAUGUACGAAAUAUAGUAAAAUUGCUCUAGAAAUUCUGAAAUUCUUUGAGAAGAACAAGUAACAUGUAAGGUUAUCAAACAAAAUUCUUAUAUGUUCUAAACCUUUAUUUACAAACGCUUUGGACCCAACACUUGAAAAUUGGAUGAAACUCUAUCAGUGGCGGGAAAAGCCCGCCACAGAUGUAAGCCUGCCACCCGACACUGAUAAUUAUGGCCGGUUCGGACAUGGAUCCCCUGACGUACGUUACCCUGCAGUUUGGUCACUGGCAGGUGAGCCUCAUGCCUGACAACCCCACAUGUCAGUGACUCUAUGUCACGGGACGCUACGUCAGAGGAUCUCCUUCCGGUUCUAGGCCUAUCUGACAAGCUACUGCUCAUUUUUUUUCAAACUCUUUACAGUGACUUGUAAUCAAACUCACUUUUUUUAGUGUUUGUUGCAUUAUUAUUUUCAGUGUUUGUUGCAUUAUUAUUUUUAGUAUUUUUGCAUUAUCAACGAUUCUUGCGGGUCAUAUAGAAAUUCGAAUGGAUCUUGAAAAUACACACACACACACACAUAUUAUAGUUCAUCUCUCCAGCAUCACAUAUAGAAAUAUAUAAAAAAGGAAAAAUACAUAUGGAAUUUUAUUCCACGCUCCUGGCCGGUGAUGUUCUCCAAGGCCUUGGUACAUGUCUCCAGUAUACCGAUCAACGAUCGGAGCACUUCCACAGAGACUUGUACCGUCGGCGGCGGCGGCGGAGGCGGCAAGGGUGGCGGUGGCGUUGGCAACAAAGGUGGCGGCGACGCACGGCGUGACGGUGGGGCCAUAGGAGCUGCUGGAGGCGCCGUCGGUGGAGGAGGUGGUGGCGGUGGUGCAGGUUGCGGGGCCGGUUGACGUACCACCGGCGGAGGAGUAGGCUGGGCCGACGAUGGAGACACGGCCUUCUUUGUACGGCCGCCUCGCUUGACGCCAAACAUUGGCAGAGACGGAGGUGGUGUCGGAGUUCGACGCCGUGGUGGAGACCGGCGGCGUCCACGACCACGGCGGCCACUGCAGCGCCGCCUACUAUGGACUUCAUCUUCGUCCGAUGAAGUCAAGAAUGCCGUCCGUCGGUACGGACUCUCUCCGUCGAGCUCCCUAUUCUCCGCUUGAAUGGAGGAGCACGGGAAGGAGUCCCCAGACCACCGCGCCAUGUCGAAGGAUCUUUGGUAUCAGGGAAGAAGGCUAGAUGGAAAGGUCGAAUGAUGACACGGAAUAUAUAGGCACAUAGCUCUUUCGAGAGACUUCUGCACACCUCCGCAAGUCAAGCUCCCUAUUAAUUAUGGAAUAUUUAAGGCCAGAGGGCGUGCGGGAACACAUCAGUUUCCCAUGCAAGUCCCUGCAACUGCCCACGCACGCCGGUUUCCCAUGCAAGGCCGCCACGCACCCCUCCGCAAGUCAAACCGCUCUGGCGUAGAGUCCCCGAGCAUUCAUGCAAACCGCUUUCAAAGCCCACCAACAAACACUCAUCACCGGAAACCACUCCCCUUCCCCUUACCAUCGCUAUUUAACCCGGCGCCAUGGAACUACUUCUUUCUAUUCUUCUCCUUCUUCUACACAUCUUCACCUCUCUCUACUUCUUCUGUGCGGUUAACCGACGGGCAAUGCCAUUCCAAGGCCACACCUUCAACCCGCCGCCCUCACGGAGGAGCGGUUGUACCCACCGGGCGUGCUUGUGGAGUGUACGCUCCAAGUGGGGGCGAUGUCGCGCAGCAGGAGCCCGAUGGCGCUGGUCAGGGACUUCCUCCACACCGGUUUCUUACACCGGGAGGCCGUAGGCCCUCCAAUGUACCGCGUGGAGCACCAACACGGCACCGCCUAGUGCCGUGUAUGGCGUCGACACGGCCAUCCUAGUGCACCUCACCAACAGCCACGACGCUGAGUACCUCCUUGGCCGCGUGUACUGGUGUGGAUGCGAGUUUAUCGCAUUCACGAUGUACACCGUGUACACCAACACGGCAAACACGUUCCCCCACGCCGGCCAGAUGCACGGCCUCCCGUACGUCGUGCCGGAGGUGGCGCCUGUGGAUGGGCCUGCCGAGUCGGGCGUGGCAGCGCGGGAGGAAGCCGGCGCCCAGGAGUGAUCGGCCGCGUCGUUUUAUAUGAAUGCCGUUAAUUAUAAAGUUUUAUAUGAAUGCGUUAAUUGUUAGAAUUUGCACUUCAUGUUUUAUGACGAUGAACCGCUUUAUUGAACUGCGUGUGAUGUGAUUGCUUCCAUAAUUGUGAUUGUAAAGUUUAUUUCUGUGUAAAACAAACAAGUGUAGCCUCGGGUAGAAUUUGCUUUCUUCGAUUAGGCUAUGUAGACGCCGCUUCCCUUCGCAAGUCUCGCCGGCGAGCCCACGGAGGCGUAUCUGGCGGGCCCGUUGCCAGGGCGAGCACGGAGGCGUAUUUGGCGGGGGCGGGGCGUAUUUGGGAAAGGGAUGAGAGAGAUAGGCGACGGACCCACCUGUCACUUUUUUUCGUCGCCCCACAUGUAAGUUAAUUCGACCGACCCCACCUGUCAGGACAUGGCCCGCAUGUAAGGUAACCAGACCCGUUAAGACCUGUCUGCUUGCACUGUCUCCUCGCAGCCCCACACGCCAGAAACGCAGCUCUGGGCCCACCUGUCAGCACUCCCCACGGCCCACCCGUCAGAACCAAACGAUCACAGGGGCUUGAUCGUUAGCAGGUGCUCCGUGAGGGCAUUUGCGAGGAAUCGCGAAACGAACAAGUGUAGCAGCGAGCACUGUUUCUGGCCUCGGGUAUAACUGAGUACAGCUAUGGAAAGAGGGGCGCAGAAAUAAAAAACCCUUAAGGGAAAUAGGGCAAAGAACAAUUUGUACAAGGGUUUUUUACUUCUGUGCCCUUGAUUCCUUAGUUCUAUUCAGUUUUGCCCAAGCCUUAGAACACUGCUCGCUUCUACCCUCCUCCUUUGCGCAAAUGCUCGCUUUUACCAUCACGGAGCACCUCCUCAUGGUCAACUCGGUCAAGGCGUUAGCUACUGACGGGUGGGACCGGGCAUAAGCCUGACGGGUGGGACCAAUGCACGCUGCUGACUAUGGGCCAGGCCAGGCUUCGGCGAGCUUGACUCCGGCCACCGCGACGACGUCCGAUGCGGCGUGGGGAUCGGCGCGAGCACGAGGACAAGGACCGGGACAGGGAAGGGGACGCAAGGACCGCCGCUAGGAUGCUGUCGGUCGGCACGACGGACGCUAGGAUGCGCCGCGGACACAGCACAACACAACCAUCGAAGAAAGAACCUAGUUCAUAUAUUCCAACAAGGGCUUACAUUAACGACAUUAAUUUUGAAAAAAAAUGCCGAUCGAUCGCUCACUCCUCGGCUUCGUCUUCAGAUUCCUCCAUAGGCGGCGCAGGCCCCUCGACAACCACCUCCAAAGGCGUCUCCGCCUCCUUCAUGUAGUGUUGGUGUACACGUUGUACAACGUGAAUGCGAUGAACUCGCAUCCACACCAAUACACACGGCCAAGGAGGUAAUCGGCGUCAUGGCUGUUGGUGAGGUGCACCAGGAGGGCGGUUUUGACGCCGUGCUCGCGGAGCCUCUCCAGGCGGUACAUUGGAGGGCCACGGACAAGGAGCUAGUAGACGGUACCGAGAGCUCGGCCGGCGGCGGCCAUGGGUGUGAGCGGGCCACCACUCCGCCAUUUUCCAGCCGCCGACAUGCGUCGGUGGAAUUGUCCCAUGCAUUGAGCAUGGACGCCGCCGCUCGCUGCCGCCAAAGCGUGCCCGCAUCGAUGUGGACGUCCCGUGCUCGUCCUGCGGACGACUCCCCCUCAACGACGACGACGACGACGAUGAUGACGACGUUCGACGAUGACGAGGAUGAGGAGGAGGCCGAGUGCGAGAUCAAUCGGCGCCAUGCCGAGCUCCUGCACACGUACCAGCAACAUGUGCGGGAAGCCGACCGGCAGCACAUGGCUGUCGCGAAGGUGGCUUCCGUAGCGGAAGAUUUCUCCAACGAGUGCGGCCGGGAGGCGGCGGAGGCGAGGGAGCGGUACGAGUUUGAGCUCGCGACGCUAAACUCGGAGAGGAGCAACCUUCUCGAGGAGCGGGGGAGGAAGAACGUCCGGGAAAUCCGGGCGGAGCGCGAUGCCAUCUUGGCCACGACGACGGCGACGGCAACGACACUGCAUAAUGUUAUCCGUUAUUUAUCUCUAGCUGCAUAAUGUUGCUACGUAUCUUUAUUUUUAUUCCUAUUUUGUAAUCGACCUUGCGUACCCAUCGAUCUAUAUAUAUAUAUGGAAUGUUAUCCGUUUUUCUAUUAUAUAUAUGGGUAUGGUAACGGCAUAAGGUUGUAGUAUUUUGAAUGAAACACGUUGGUAAAGUAAGGCCGGUCACAAAUUGAUUUUGGUCUGAAUUUUUUUUUUCAAUUGGCAGAAUAGGCAAAAACAGUAGUUUAGGUGCAAAAAGGAUUCAAAUGCGUUUGGACCUGGUGCAUUCCAAGUUUUUUGGAAUUGCAUGGCAAAACCAUGACUUUCUUAUAUUGGUCCCACAUCGAUUUGUGCGAAUUUUCAUUGAAUUUUGAAUUAUGAGCCGAAAAGGCUGGAAAUUCAAAGAAUGCACGAACUAUCGUUCCUAAACGCCAGAAAAUCUGAAAUUUGGAGAGAACAUCAAGGAUGAACACUAAAUGCUAUGAAAAUCUUCUUUGAUGAAAAUCGCGAAUCUUAGUGGUGAUUGAGGUAAAGUUCCCUAGAUUUGUUUGAAUUUCAAAUUCAAAAAAAUAGGUAAACAAUUCAGAUUUGAACAAGCUUUGAGAUAAUGACAUUAAUAGGCAUAUGUGACUACUGUGCAAAGUUUGAGUUCAUUUGGAGAAAGUUUGUGAUUCAAUUCCAAAAUUUACAUCAAAUUUGUAACAUCUCCUUUAGAGAUUUAAAACAUCCCAGAGAGAUGUGUUACUUUGAACAUCAUGCAUGUGUUCACAAAUUGAUUUUGGUCUGAAUUUUUUUUUGGUGACGGGUAUUGACAAAUAAAGAGCCCACGCAGGUUUUCAGAUUUUUCCGGAUAAAAUUUCCUAUUAUUAUAUAUUUUUUCCAAUUGACAGAAUAGGCAAAAAAGUAGUUUAUGUGCAAACAGGAUUCAAAUGCGUUUGGACCCGGUGCAUUCGAAGUUUUUUGGAAUACCAUGGCACAACCAUGACUUUGUUAUAUAGGUUCCACAUCGAUCUGUGCGAAGUUUCAUUGAAUUUUGAAUUAUGAGCUGAAAAGGCUGGAAAUUCAAAGAAUGCACGAAAUAUCGUUCCUGAACUCCAGAAAAUCUAAAAUUUGGAGAGAACAUUAAGGAUGAACACUAAACGCUAUGAAAAUCUUCUGGGACAGAACUUGUGAAUCUAAGCGAUGAUUGAGGUAACCGUUCCCCCAUAUUUGUUUGAAUUUGAAAUUCAAAAAAUAGGCAAACAAUUCAGAUUUGAACAAGCUUUGAGAAAAUGACAUUAAUAGGCAUAUGUGACUAGUGUGCAAAGUUUGAGUUCAUUUGGAGAAAGUUUUGUGAUUUAAUUCCAAAAUUUAUAUUAAAUUGGCCAAAUAGUGGGUCUGGUCAGCAAAAGUCAACUUUCUCAAAACAAUUUGAAAUUUCGUCAUCUUUAAUAACUUUCCGUUCAGAUUGCAUCUGUGCUAUCAGAGAUCAAUUUGGAGGAAGUCUGAUUUCCAAGCUUCCUACAAAAUUGUCCAUUCCAGUGGGCUCAAAGGGCAAAAAGUGGCUCUUUUUCUUCCCCCCGGUGAACAAAAGCAGCUCAUCUUCCUGGCCGCUCUUUCUGCCGUCCAUCGCGGCACCGUCGCUUCUCAACUCGGUCGCUAAACCUUGCCGCCAUGACCUUGUAGACAUGCCGAAGCUAUAUCCGCAAGUCGCGCAUCCUCUCGUGCUCUAUUCUGGCCGGAACGCGAACGGCCAGAGCACGCUCGCGCGCCGCUGCUUUGCGCCAUCAUGGCCAGCGUCCUCCACGAGCCUCGCCACCUUGCCCAAGAGACCUGCAUCGGCCAAGGAGACCAGAGGUGCCUCCAAUCGCUGCGUCACCAUCUUCUUCCUCAUCUCCUACCGGUUGCUGCCGCCGAACAGAUCUCCUUCUCUGGCGACCUCCGGACUCGACCGCCGCCUCCCUCAGAUCCACCUGAUCACUCUGAACCUUCUGGUGAUUCUCAUCAAGCCUCGCGUGAUCUGAGUCAUCCCCGUGUCGCUGCUCCUCUCUGCCUGCCACCUGCCGGCGUCGAGGUUCUCGCGCCGUGCUCCUCCACCCCUUCCAAUGCCUCCGUCAGAUUUGUGAUGACUUACUCAUUCUUUUGCCCCUCUUUCCUGCCUCUCCCGUGCUCUGUAUCGCCCCGCCUCCUAGCGGAGCCCUCCGCCACCGCAGACCGCACGAGCCCGCGGCCAGCAAGAUUUCAGCAAUGAGAAGCUCCAGCGCCACCUCAGGGUGAAGCAGCCUUGCGCCUGCUAGACACCCCAUGCACCCCCUGCCUGGCCUAUGUUGCGCAGGAGAGCAACUCCGGCGACAGCAAAGCGUCGGCGAGGCAGUGGCCAGAAGCCGCCUGAUUUUUCCUUCCGAAGGUGGACCCACUUGCAAAUUAAUCAUUUCUUCUACAGUCAAACGGAUCAUUUUCCUGUUGCUUCAGCCCCACAUGUCAGUAGCUAGGUUGGCCCCACUCGGCAGGAUUUAACCUAGCCCCACCCAUCAGGAGGUAACAGUCAAAGGACUUGAAUGUUAACAUGUCCGCCGUGAGGACAUUUACGAGCAUUUGCCAAAGAACGAAGUGUAGAAACGAGCAACGUUUUAAGCCUUGGGCAAAACUAAGUACAACUAAGGAACCGAGGGCACGGAAAUAAAAAAAACCCUUAGUACAAUGUGCGAGUGUGCAUUCUUGCAGCUGUGGAGAAGAUAGAGCUGAGGGGGAAUAAGCUAGACGUGGUGAGUUUCAUAGUGUUGGCUAAGGCGUCCGAGGAGGGCUAGGUCGCAUGCUCAAGAAUUUGAGCAAAGGAGGCCUAAUCCAAUAGUGCAUGGAGGUUAGCGCUAGACAACUUCAGGAUAACGACAAUAUUCGCUAAAGUGGACUUUGUCAUAGUCGUGUUAAAUAUUGUUUGUACGUAGAGUUAAAGUUGGACGGACUACUCACAUGUAACGUGGACUCCCUUACAUAAGAAGGGAUACUAUAUAAGAAUCGAUGUAGCUCAGACAGUCAUCUCACAAUUAGUGAGGGAUGCCCGUAGUCAAAGCAUCCGGAUGUAACCGCAAGGUGAAUGCCGAAGGUGCCAAAGUCUUUUCUAGCGGGCUGGCUAGCUACCGGCACGGGAUCAGCCAAUCCCUCGCUACCAGCCUGCACGAUGUAUCCGAACGCCGCAUGUGUAUUCUUCGUAUUGAUCCUUUCUCCCAUUUAUUGGACACAGUAUUCUCAAGUCUGGGUCCAAACAUGUGAUGUGAUAAGAAGAACGGAAUUUAUAUCGGGAGAACGUUCUCCCCAGUGCUUCCUGGCGCGACGCGCUUGCGUGCGUUCGAUCGAGACGGGGAGCUCGUCCUCGUCGCGUGCUGGUCCCGCUUGAAGUCCACGUUAGCGCUAGCUUGGUGUUGCAUGGUGCAGUGGUUCAAUUGUUUUGGGAAUCACGCCCACUUCUGUUCCCCUUAACGUCUACUGUUAAUGAGCCUAUCAUUUAAUCUUUCUGAACUGCUCUCGUAUGCCCCUUUUCUCCAUUCCACCGCGCGCUUUGCUUUCUCCUAUCUUUUGCUUGCUCUCUGCUAAUCCGCUUUCGGCCUUCCGCCGCGUUCGUGUUCGUCUACGAUUGGUGUUCGGUUCCUGUCAAAUCUCGCGACUCCUAGGAAGGGAACCAUCCUCCUCUGUUUUCUUGGGUUUUGAGGUGGGAAUUAUUGGUUGGGAGUGUGUCAGGGUGUUGUUGAUCGCAUCGGGUUCGGGAUUCCAGGUGAGUUUGUCUGCGGCAUUGCUUGGAUUGCUGCCGCGAGUUCGACCACAGUUGUUUUGUGUGCGGAUUCCAAAUGAUUUGGUUGAUUUUUUCGUGUUCUCGGAUGAUUUUUGGGUUUGUGUGUGUCGGGGUUUUCAGUGGAUAGAAUAUGUUCGACAGAUUUUGGGCACGGGUGGUUCAAAAUGAAUCCGGUUGGUCGAUUUUGCUCCCCAUUUUGAAACAUUUGAACCAACCGCCCCCAUUUUUGUGUGGAUUUGGUACUUCUACCCUUCAGUGUAUUAUGGGCGCGUGUUGGGAGGUUUUGGGGGGCGGAUUCGCAAGAUGUCUCUGCAGGAUGGUGGUGUUAGAUGUUUCAGUCGAUUUUUUGGUUGCGUCUGUCCCUUCUAUUCAGUGUAUUUAUGGCAGCGUGCUGGAUGGUUUUCACUGGUGGAUUCAUGAUAUGUUUUUGCGGGAUGGGUGCUGUUAGAAUGGGGACCAGGGAUUGUCCCUUUUUGCUCAUGUUUAGAUUUUGGUUUUUGAAUUUUAAAAUAGUAGAAGAGACUUAAUUGUGGGAUUAGGGAUGUUAGAUUCAUUAGUUGGAAUGUUUUUUAAUCAGAGAUUAGGGGAGUUUGAAGAGGCUUAAUGUGCAUGUGGUUUUUACAAUAACAUGGCAAUUUGUUACCUACUGUGGUGGCAACUAUAGGGGUCCACUCAUGGCAACUUAGUGUGCAUUGGAUUUGUUUGGAUCAAAUGUGACAGAAUAUGACAACUUAUGUACCUUUUAUAUGGCAAGUUUAUGUGUGUAGGGGUGACAAUUUUACUUAUGGUCAAGAUUACUUAUGCACUUAGUAGUGGAAUUAGGGAUGUUAGAUUUUUCAAUUGUAACAUUUUGAAUCAGAUAUUUAGGUUGUUUGGUAAUGGAGACAUUGCAAUUUUAAACCAACCACAAAUGUAGGUGAUUUUGAUUCGGUCUUAUUUUUGCAGGGUAAUUUGUAGCGUGCAUGUUGUUUUUUACAUUAACAUUCGAUUUCUUACCUAGUGUGGUGGCAACUACAAGGAGCCAGUCGUGGCAACUUAGUGUGCAUUGGGUUUGAUUGGGUGAAAUAUGACAGAAUAAGGCCACUUUUAUAUGGCAAAGUUUAAUUGGCAGUUUUGGGAUGGAUUGGAAUCGAAAUUUUGUGUUUAAUUGUGUUUGUCGUAAAUUAUCACAUAUGCUUAGGUGGGAGUUUGUGGAUGGAUUGGCUCAAUUUUUGGUUAUCCUCCUUUCGUUGCAUAGUGCAAUCAUAUUUUUGUUCUUUUACAUGGCAACUUAUGUAUUCUUAGUUGGUAGUUAUAUAUGUCCAAAUAGUGAUUUUUGCACAAAUGUAGCAGUGUGGGGCUUGGAUUGGCUCAAAUAUGACAUAAUAUGGCAACUUAUUCACUUGUUAUGUGGCAAGUUCAUGUGCAAAGGGGUGGUAAUUUCCUGCAUGUUCAACUUUAGUUAGCGGGAAGUUUGGGAAUUUAUUUGGAUCAAGAUUUGGGUCAAUUUGUUUUUUGUUGUAGCACAAAUCAGAUAUGGCGUUUUAUGUCCUUGUUAGGCGGCAAUUUAUGUGCAAGUUGACGGGGGAGGGGGAUAAAUUAUUGCUUAUUUGUCAUUAUUUAGGUGAGAGUUUGGGAUGGAUUGGCUCUUUUUUUGGUUAUCUGGUCUUUCGUAGCAUAGUCCAAACAGAUGUGGUCAUUAUGUCCAAAUAGAUGUCAACUAUGUUCAAAUAGAUAUGGCAAUUAUUUCCAUUUACAUAAUGAGUUUUCUUAGGCGGGUUGUUUUAUCGAUUUAUGCCUUGCUUUCUUCAUUUUUUUUCAAAAUAGGUGCAUAUUUUUUUUUUUCAUUUUUAUUUGGUUUUUACAUCUCAGAGGGAAAUAGCGACGGUUAAGAAACGGAAGGCUACUAGUUUGGUGACUGAAGAUAGAAAACGUAAUUAUGUUCACUUUUGAUAUAUUUUUGCAUGGCUAGUUCUGCACAUUUCAUAUGGCAACUUGUAUUGGACUGCCAUUUUCUUAACUGACAUGUUUUAUCUACUUGCUGCGGUAGGUCAUGGUCGCCGCUGAAUUCAAUAUGUCAAUAAGCUUGAGGCUGCCCCAUAGUGUCUUAACCUACAUGUAUCAAUUUGAAAUGAAAUAUGAUCAAAAGUGUGCAAACAACAUGGUCUGCAGAUGAUGCCACGCACCCUUUGGUAACUCUCUGGCCACUUCAAAUAUUUUCUGGUCGAAACUACACAUGUCCAAGCAUGGCAACUCCAGUAGGCAUAGCAUGGCAACUUUUAAUAGGUAGAGCAUGACAACUUAUUAUAGCACAUUGUUCAUAUUGUUGUUUUACCUUCCAAUAUUACUUGGUGUAGUAGUGGCAGUAGUGGAUAAGAGGGAUGCAAACCAUGAAAAUUUCCAAACAAUACAUCAUUGGUUGGCGUCAAUAACGGGAAGGCCCAUGAACCAAAUAUUUUGUCCAUUCCCCCCUUCCCCCUUUUUUUUAUACUUCUUCCUGCGAGAAUAAGAGGCAUAGUCUAGUGCAAAAAUUUGCAGUUUUACAUCUAUCUAGUCAUGUGUUUGCAGCUAAUAUUUUUUAAAACAUUUUUGUACAGGGGGACACAGUAUGUUUUGUUUCUUCACGAUCAAAAUGGAGAACUACAUCAUGGCCAGAUAUAUCUGCACAUAUUAAAUACCUUUGAGUAUUUCUGUAAUGUAGGCAGCUACAUGAAUGCUUGAAAAUUGCAACGUGCUGCAAUAGUGUUUUCAAGUUCAGGUUGUAAGAUGUUUGAAAACAAUAUAUGGUUGUUUCUUGAUUUCCUUCCAUAGGCAAAAUAUUUUCAUAGACCGUGGCAGCUUUAGAUGUAUUAUCGUGGCAGUUUAUUCAUCGGUGCAGUGGCAACUUUUUGGGCACAGUAAACUAGGGAAGGAAGUGCACCUAGGAUUUCUAACCCUUCAGUUUUUUAGGCACCCAAUUAGUUUUCAUUUGGAACAUUGUAGGGACAAUUCAUGAUUUAAUAGGUUUUUCAGAUAAUUAUGCAAUUUGUCCACUUGAUAGAGAAUGGCAACUUUCAGGUAGGCACCCCGGCAGUUUUAAUGGGUGUCACCUGGUUUUUUACUCAUGACUAGGGUGGCAACUUUGUGCAGUUUUGCAUGAAAAGCAUCCCACAUUGACGAGAGUACUUUCAAACAUUACAAUCAGAUGGCAACUUGUUUUAGACAGAUCAUAAAUCUAGAUUUGCAAGACAUGACAACUUCUUUAGGGGAAAAUUGAUACAAGAUUCAUAAGAGUUCCAGAUUGCUAUUUCUAGGUUUUGAAUUUGUGAAAAACCAGUAUACGAUCAUAAGAUGCUUGGAAGUUGGAAUCAGAUCACAUACACGUACAUGAGAGAAUAAGAGAUUGCUGGCAAUUCUUCUUUGUUAUUGAACCAGUAGAAGAAAAUGACCUAGAGUUAUGGACUAAAAGAGGGAGAGGGGUAUAAGAGUUCUAGAUUGCUAUUUCUAGGUUUUGAAUUUGUGAAAAAACCGGUAUACGAUCGUAGGAUGCUUGGAAGUUGGAAUCAGAUCACAUACACGUAGAUGAGAAUAAGAGAUUGCUGACAAUUCUUCUUCAUUAUUGAACCGGUAGAAGAAAAUGACCUAGAGUUAUGGGCUAAAAGAGGGAAAGGGGUAGAUGGGCCUGACAACUUUGUUUGAUCUAGAUUAGAAUUUAGGUCGGCCUUGUUUGGACUUGACGGCUAGAAACGCGUGCACGAUCUAGUUCUGGAGUAGGGCUGGAGUAGAACCUGGCAACUUUGCCAUCUUCCGUGUCGCUGGUGUGUCGCUGGUGUGGUGGUGCCCUUCUGCACGCACGAUCUGGGCUCGUCCAGACGCCGACGGCUCACGCUGGCGCCGCAGCAUGGCGUCGCGCUGGUGCUCUUCCGACCGAACGACCUGCACUCGGUUUCGGCGCGCGGGAGAAAAUGCACUCGGUUUCGGCUCGCGCUCCCGCGCGCACGCGCCCUUGCGUGGCAACUCUGACGUGGCCGCCGACGUGCCAACCUAGCUUUGUGUUCGACGUCGCACGCUGGGACUACGGCGCGACUGUCGCGCCGUAUUCGCUCCCUGAGAAGAAAAGGCUGGCACGGAAGGAACCCUUGGUCCCUCCCUCGUUAACUCCUGCGCCUCUCGAUCGUUCCCCAGACGCCGCCGCCAGAUCCCGACGGCCUCCUCCCUACCGGCGGCCUGAUCCCACCGCUCCGAUUCUCUGUCCACCGCCUCCUCCUCCGGCUCCGGCGAUCCCCUCCCUUCCUGCCCCCUACCUCCUGGCAAGCCCCCCUGGCUGGGCACGGCGCGGCCUCCUGCCCUCGUCCUCCGACCGGGCAAGGCACGGCCUCACGCCCUCCUCCUCCGGCUGGGAACGGCGCGACCUGCCGCCUUCCUCCUCCGGCUGGGCACGGCGCGCGCGGCCUGCCGCCCUCCUCCUCCGGCAGGGCACCUCCACCCCAAGGAGCAGCGUCGCCUGCUGGGUGGGAGCCGAAGGCCGAGUGCUUCUGCUGCUAACAGUACCACCGGAUCCGGCUUCCGCAGCCUCGAUGCCGCCGGAAUCGGGCUCCCCCGACCCUGCUGUGGCCGGAUACAGGCUUCCCCGACCCCUCGCCCCCCGUCUCCGCUAGCUCUCGGAAAGUUUUCUUCUCUUUCUCUCUCUUCUUUCAUGCUCUCUCUCUCUCUAACCUGGUGGCGACCCCCUGGUCCUAAGUCCUAACUCGCACGGUGACCCUGCUUCCUCCUCGCCUCCCUGCCUCAACCUGCGCACGGUGACCCCCUGGACCCAGCCGCCAUCGGUCCUGUCAAGUUAUAUUUGUGUUGUGGAAUUUUGCUCAUAAAAUUGUAUUCUCGUUGAUAUCUCAUCGAUGUACCAUUGAUAUCUCGCCAUGUAUCAUUGAUUUUGUCCCAUGCCUUUCGAAUUUCGAACAGAUUUCAUUGAUAUCUCGUUCAUGUAUCACUGCUUUUGUCCCAUACCAUCCGAAUUUUGAACAGAUUUCAUUGAUAUGUCACUGUUUUUUGUGUAUGCCAUUGAAGUUUCAUUGAUCUAUCGUAAUGAUAUUGUCCCAUACCAUCUAAAUUUUGAACAGAUUUCAUUGAUAUGUCACUGUUUUUUGUGUAUGCCAUUGAAGUUUCAUUGAUCUAUCGUCCAGAUUUGGUUGCCAGGAAUUAUUUCAAUGGUAUAAAUAUCAUUGCAAUAUACCAUUGGAUUGGUACGAGAAAAAAAAUUCUAAACCUUAGUUUUAUCAAUACCAAUUCAUUUUCAAAUUAGUGAAGAAACUGUGUCCAUCCAACAAUGAAACCAAUGGAUAUCAUUUUAAAUUUCAUAGUUUUUCAUUGAGAUAUCAUUUGAAAUUUAUGUCUAUCAUUGAACUUUUGUCAUGGAAAUGUGCAUUAAUGGAAUUUCUGUGAAAUACCAAUGUAUUAAUGGAAAUGUGUAUUAAUGGAAUUUUAUUAACAUAUAUUAUUUAGUUGAUAUGUUGCUGAAUUUUUCAAUACCAUUGAUAUAGUACACGUCAGUUAAUAUAAGUACUAAUGAAAUUUAAGUGAAAUAUCAAUGAAGUUUAAUGAAAUAGAAACGAUAUGCACAAUUGAUAUAAAAUGAGAACCACGAGCACUGUGGUCAGGCUUGGAGGGACCCUACAUUGCUCUACUCCAAGCAGCGCACGUGGGCGGGGCCCUGCUUAGGGAAUACAAAAGAAUACAUAGUGAAUACAUGGGAGAGGGCGUUCUACUUUAUUGCGUGUCAGAGGCUGAUUGGUGGAUGGCGUGUCGGUAGGUAGCUGGCCCGCUAGAAUCGCCCCUCUCUGCCGAAGGUGCGUUCUCCUUAAUUUUCGAGAAAAAAAAACACAAGGUGAAUCGGAUGAACAAAUGGCAUGUCCCAUUUGUGUGAUUCUCUGUUUGUGUUCUUUGUAGAUCAAGACUUAAUCUUGGUGUGAUUAUCUAUGAUCUUUAUAAAGUUGAUCCCUACUAAGAGUCACAUUUUAUGUUUGCAAGCUCAACAUGUCAAGUGUCAACAUUAUCAAGUUGAUUUCCACUAAUCUUAACAUGCAAAGUGCCAUGUCAUCAAGUUGAUUUUUCUAUAAAGUUGAUCCCCUAAGAGUCAUUUAAUUAAUGUUUGCAAGCACAACAUGCAAAGUGUACACAUCAUCAAGUUGAUUUCCAAUCUUAACAUGCAAAGUGCCAUGUCAUCAAGUUGAUUUCCACUUAGAUUCAUUUAAUAAUGUUUGCAAGCUCAACAUGAAGUGUCCACAUCAUUAAAUUGAUCACUAAGCUCAACAUACAGAGUGUCCACGUCAUCAAGUUGAUUCCCACUAAAGAUCGGUUUGAUGUUCACAAGCUCAACAUGCAGAUUGUCCUCCAUGCGUGACAAAAGCAUAACUUAUUUAUUUUAUCUCAAAGCACUCUCAUCAUAAUUUUUUACCUUAGACAUCCCAAUUCAUCAAAUCAUGUCCUCUCUACUCUCAUCAUUCCAACAUUAUAAGAAAUGUACAUAUGUAAUUCAAAAGCUGAGCCAUACUAAACCACCACCGGUGUUUCUAACUUUUAAAACCAUGUCUUCUCAUGCUCACAUCUCAGACCAACUGCCGUGUGAUCAUUCAGUUGUGAACACUGAUUACAUGAAAAAUUGAAUGCCACAUUUACAAGUUAUUCUUAUCGAACUCAGAGAAACAACAACAUGUAGUUUCAAUACUCCUAUAUAGUUGAUUUUGCUUCAUUGCAAUCCAUUUUUCUUUCACGUAGGACAAAUGUAUUGUUUUUAGACCCGCAGCAACACACGGGGUAUCCACUAGUUCUAACGAUAAUUGUGCCCUUGUGGAAAGCAAUAUUUAAGUAAAAAAAAAAGAUUAUUCUAGCAACUUGAUGUGUGUCCCCAGUUUAAAGCAAUAUUAGUCCGGGGUUUAAAUAAAUUGAGACGCCAAGUUAAAAUCAUCUCACAUAGUUUUAGUAAAAAGAGCCGAAUAGUAUGUUGAAGCUGCAACUUGCAGCUCCUGCUUCCUUGGGCUGCCUCACGCAACACACGCAAGAACACAAGAUACACAGUGGUUUGCGUCGGGCUACCUUACACAACACAACUUUUGUUCCUUGUUUGUGUUCUCUCAACAAAAACAAACAUCACACGCACAUCUGGCUGAGCAAACUAACUUGUGCUAGUCUUGUGCCACUCACUGCACGCAAUUAGGAACCACACACUACGCCACUCAACCAUGACCUCUUCUUCCACACUAGGAAAUAGGAACAACAUUCAGGCCACACAUGCACAUGCAGCAGCAAGCUGGAUGGAUCAGCCGAUGGACUAGCUUGCUCGUAGCUUCACCUGGCCAGCGGCAUUGCACGGCACGACGGUAUCUCAGCAUAUACACCGCGUCACAUUGGCAACUCGGCAUCUCGCCAGCACGCUCUCUAGCCGAAAUUUUUUCAGCUCUGUACGUCUCACACUUGCAUCAUAUGGCAACCCUCCAUGCAUCUGACUACUACUCUCUCUGAUCCAUAUUAAUUAUCGAAAUAUCAUGUAUCUAGACGUUUUUUAGGCAUAGAUACAUUCAUAUUUAGACAAAUUUGAGACAAUUAAUAUGGAUCGGAGGGAGUAUUAGAAAAUCAAAAAUAAUAUGCUAACACAGUAAUUCAAUCAGUUCAAGUCCCCCAUGCUCAGGACUCAGGAGACCGAGAGUUAAGUGCAUGCACGCAUGCUACUAGCUAGUAGCAGCGAACGUCUCUGCUUGCAUAUGCAUCUCCUCGCGCGCCGAUCGAACCGAUCGAGAGUUACGUGCAUACACCGUUGUAUUUCGGUGGGGGUUGUUAGUUGAGGUUCCCGUGGAUUCUUUCGUUUAAUUCUCAAAGAAAGCGACAAUUCUAAAAAAAAAAAGGAGUAUUGCAAGAGUUUUCAAAUCGACGGGCUCCAUCGUUCUCUAUAAAUCAAGAAUCUCACAUGCAUCUCUCUUCAAUUCAUCUCCACGCCCAGUAAGAAUGGCAUUCUUGUUCUUGCCCGAGCAUCUCAUCUCCACGCUUGUGCUACUCCUAGUUCCAGCUUUGUACAUCAAGUGUAGUCGAUCAAAGAAUCCAUUGCAGCCGAGGAACUGGCCAAUAAUCGGCAUUCUUCCUUCCCUCGUUCAAAACUUCCACCGAUUCCACGACUAUGCCACUGACCUCCUAGCUUCCUCAGGGCACAGCUUCAAGUUGACCAUAGCCAGCAUGGGGUUCACUGCUACGGAAUUGGUUAGCAGUGGCGGGCCAAUUUCAACACCGGUGGCGGUGGACCGGCCCGCCACUAAGCCUGCGCCACUAGUGCUGACGAGCACCGGUGGCCGGUACGACCACUGCCACUGCUAAUACCUUUUUCCUGUGGCGGUCAAGAACCACUAGUUCUAUUUCUCUAGCGGCGGUGAAAAAUCAACGCCCCUGGUAAGAUUUAGAUGAAUUAAAAAAAAAGCAGACCCGUGCCUGCACUGCAUCGUCACUGAUGACGUUGGAGAAAAAACACAGAUUCAAUUCCGAUACAAACACACAGAUACAAAUCAGACCCAGGCCGUGUGGCUCCAACAACAAGAAUCAAUCAAAACUAUAGAAAACAUUUCAGAUCUAAGCACUAAGACCAGUUCGGAGUAAGUGUGCUUGAACACCUUUGGAUCUAGAAAAAAAAGAAUAAAAGAAGAGAGGAGUUGCAGCCGCCCUCCUCUCCAUGCCAGCGGCGGCACGGACUGGACGUGGAGGUGAAGCCGGCGAGUUGCAGCCGCCCUCCCACCUGCAAGUGGCGCCGUCCUUCUCUCCUCGCUCGUCUGCAACGGAGUUAAGAGAGGGAGGGUGUGUGAGAGGGAGAGAGAACUCACCCGGAUCCGCGGCGCCAGGACCAAGAAACGCCGGAUCCAGAGGCGGCGGGGCCGAGCGCAGCCAGACCAGGCCCCAUCCGGCCAUGGCGCAGGAGGAGGGGAGACCUCGGGAGCGCCAUAGCAGCAGCCACGCGCGUCGGCGGAGUCAGGGGUGGGUGCCUUGUCGGCGGAGUCCACCUACCGCGGGGAGUAGGGAGGAGAGCGGCGGCCGAGUGCGCCGAGGAGCUAAGGAGGAGGGCGGCGGCGUGGAUCUGCAGAGGGCAGAGGAUGAGGGAGGCCGCUGGGAGCAGAGAGAGAAAAGGGAGAGAGGCCCACGUUUGGAAAAAGAGAGGAGAUAAUAGAGAGGCUCACAUGUUGGAAUAAGAGAGGAAGGGGAUCAGGCUGUCCGAUGGGCCGGCAAGAAAACGAGCGGCCGAGCAAGAUACACGUCACCGAUCCAUGGCACACCAGCUCCACCAAUCGCACGCAAGCACACGUAUUCCGUGUUUUUCAAUUCCAUGGCAAGCGAGAUACAACACGGGUGGCGGACUGGCGGGUAGUACUACGAACCGGCCACUGGUGCUGAGCUAGAGUUUUCCAAAAUUCUUCUCUAGCACCAGUGGCGGACUCUACUGAACUACCUGCCACUGGUGCUGAUUUUUGAAAAUGGUAUUAAAUUCGUAUUAUAUUUUAUGAGUAUUAAAAAAUUACAAAACCUGUACUUUUGAGUGUAUACCAAGGAUACUUAUUUGAAAGUGAAGUUUAAACUAUAAAUUGAAAAACUUUGUACACUAAUUUGGAUAAUUAUGUGUGAUUAUGUGUGGCUUUUGUGUACUAAAAAAUCUAUAAAAUUCAUUUUUACUCAGAAUCUUCCCAAAUUUGGUUUGGACACUUCCCUAAUGAUAAGAAACACACAUACAAAAAUUCAAGUUCAAACUAAAAAUUCAAGUCACAUUUGGUUGGUUGGUUAGAUGGUUUCAGAGAGUUCUACCUCGAUGGCCCCAAAAUGAAAAAUUGUUGUGGUCAAUUUAGAGUUUUGUCUUCAAAAAUUAUAUGUAAGCUUCUUGUUGUAUACUAAGUUUCCAUGCAAAAAUUCAGAUCAUUUUGAGCAAAAUUGAAUUUUCUAGCAAUUAUAACUUGAAUAUGAACAACAUAAUCAUAUAAAUGGUUGAUGAUAAUUUUUUAUUUAGGUUUAAAACUUUGAAUGGGACAAGAUAUUAUCACUUUACACUCAAAAGGACAGGUGGUUUAAUUUUUUGAAAAACACAGAAUAUAAUAUGAAUUUAAAACCUCAUCCAAAAUUACUUACCAGUGGCGGGUUCGUUGUGCGGACCGGCCACUAGUGUUGUUUUGUGAUAUUGGUAAUCUUUUGUUGAGUAGCAGUGGCUGUUUUGAACUCAGAACGGCCACUGGAGGUGGGGCGUUACCGGUGGCGGUUUUGAACUUAGAACAGCCACUGGUAACCAUUGGGGGAAUCCCCAUUGAACACCAGUGGCUGUGGACGGGCACCGCCACUGGUGGUGGAGCACCGGUGGCUGUGGCUGGCCACCGCCCCCCGUGGAGCACCCGUGGCUGUGAUUUUCUUGCCCCGCUCGAAUAGCCACUAAAGGUCAUGCGCCAAAGCCACAUUCUGGCGUAGUGGUUCUUCAUAACCUGUGACCCAGCCAAUGUGCAGCACAUCUUCACCUCAAACCAUGCAAACUACCACAAGGGCGAGGGCUUCGCCGACAUCUUCGACGUGACUAAUGGCUCCCUGUUGACCGUUGACGGCAAAUCCUGGCGCCGUCAACGUGCAAGGUACAACCGUGCUUUGAGCAGCCCCAGGUUUGUUGCCUUCACGACAAAGUACUGCCACGACAAGGUGGAGAAAGGCCUCCUACCCUUCUUGACCCACGUGGCGAGAACCGGAAACCCGCUUGAGAUUAAUGAUCUCAUGGGGAGGCUUGUUUUCCACUUGUAUGCCACGUCCGUCUUCGGCGUGGACCCUGGUCUCCUAUCUCUCGAUAUGCCACCGGUACACCUCGUAGACGCCAUGGACACGGUCAUGGAGGUGGGCUUGGUCCGGCUUUUUGUUCCAGCAUUUUGCUGGAAAUCGAUGAGGCGCCUAAACAUCGGUCUCGAGAGGAAGCUUGCCACGGCGCAAGCAGUGCUUCGUGGCUUCGCCAUGGAAAUGAUUGAUAGGAGGAAGACCAGCAGUACCCAUAUUGGUCUCCAAGAACAAGCGACGGCUUCAUCCGUGGACAUUCUAUCAAACCUUAUCGAUGACCUGGACUACAAUAAUGAUGAUUUGCUUCAGGCAAUACUCAUCGCCACAAUGAUUGCUGGAAGGGACACGAUCGGCACUACCUUGGCAUGGAUCUUCUACAACCUUGACAAGAACCCACACGUUGUGUCAAAGAUACGCAAUGAAUUGGCACCCAUCGUGUCACGCAAAGAAACCAUUAUUGCUAGCGACCCUAUGCCGUUUGAGCCAGAGGAGGUCAAAGCUCUAGUCUAUCUGCAAGCAAGCUUGUUGGAGACACUAAGGUUGUACCCUCCCGUCCCUUCCGAGCGAAAGGAGGUGGCCGCCAGCGAUGUGAUGCCGAGUGGCCAUGAGGUGUGUGCCAGGGACAUCGUCAUCAUUUCCCUAUACUCCAUGGGUAGAAUGGAGGAUGUGUGGGGGGUUGACUGCUAAGAAUAUAGGCCAGAGAGGUGGCUCUUAAAGGAUGGAGCCAUGCUUUGGCAUGUUCCCUCUCACAAGUUCUUGGCGUUCAACUCGGGGCCAAGGUUGUGCCUCGGUAAGGACAUUGCUAUCACACAGAUGAAGACCAUUGUCGCUUCGGUCGUGUGGAGCUUUGACAUGGAGGUGUUAGGUGCUCAGGUCAUUAAACCGAAGCUAUCGUGUUUUCUGCAAAUGAAGAAUGGGCUCAAGCUGAAAGUUGCAGAAGCGAGAGAUCUAAUAUCUAGGGAUCUAUGUUAGGCAUCCCAAAGAAUAAUGCAAGCGAUAUGUGCCCUUGUGGUGUUUCUCAUGUAUCUUACCAAAUAUCUCGGAGUAAUUGUAGUACUGCAUUCGCACAGUCGCUACCACAAACCGAUAUAUCCCUAUCGGGUGACUUCUAUUCCUGUCGGGCCCGCAGCCGGCCAACAGGAAUAUAAGUAUUCCCUGUCAGGAAUUACAUGGCACACAGGAGAACACAACAUUUUCCUGUCGGUCGGCUCGAAACACACAGGAAAAUAUAUAUUCCUGUCUGUUUUGAAGCCCACACACGGGGAUGAAGAUAGAUUCCCGUCAGGCAACUGUACACCGACAGGGAAAUCUUCUAUUCCUGUCGGGGUUUUCUUUUCUGGCCAACGGGAAUAUGUAUUUUCCUGUGGGUUGGAGACCGACGGAAAUAUGAAUUGAAAAUGUUUUUGAAACUUUUGACUUACCAAAUGAGCUCCAAAUUGGGCGAGACCAAGCGAGGACUCAUGUUACAUCCUAACAAGCUUGGAAUCAAAAUAUGAACACUAAAUGUGCGAUAUGAUCAUAUCUUGCCUUGAAUGGUUUUAAGGUAAGUCGGACUUAGAGUUGAUCUCUUCUAUCCAAUAACUUUCAGCACAUUUUUCAUUGUUGGAUAUAGUAGGAUUUGGCCCUAUAGUGUAACAUAAGAAUCGCAUAGAAGGUUGUAAAUGAACUAAAUGUAAUUUUUAUUUGAUACCAUUUGUAAAAAAUAAUGUGUUUUUGAUUUUCUGAAACUAUUUAAUGAAAGUAUUAUAUAAAAAAAUUACCAAAAAUAUUAUUCCAAAAUUUAUAAAUCAAUGUACUAGCAAGAAUUGGUUUGAUUCGGUCACAUAUAUGAAAUAAUAUUUUACAUGGUAUUUAUAAAAAAAAUGUAAUAUUUCAUUUUAGUUUUGUACUCCUGUGAGUUAUAGAUGAAACCGACGGGAAUAUCUAUUCUCUCGUCGGUUCCCUCAACGAACACGCAGGAAUUUGACUUUCACAGCACCGCCACGCACUGCCUCAGACGUGUCUGGAGCCCAGGCGAGAACUCUAUCGAUCUCUUUUUUUUCUUCCUUACCCCGAUGGCCGAUACCUACCCUAAACAACAGCCCCCUCAGACUGUCUCAUGCUAUCUCUCCCCUCACUCCCUACCGAGCCGCCGCCACUCCCUCCCAUCACCCCCGCCUUGCUCUCCUCCGUCGGCGCCGGCCCUGCCUCCCCUCUUCUCCGCCGGCCCCUCCUCCCCAUCGCGCCGGCCCCGCCUCCCCCGUCGCGCCCGCAGGCCCCGCUCCUUCCCCCUCCCCAGAUCCGCCUCCCCGUCGGCCGCCGCGCCUCAAUCUCUGUCGCCGUCACUCCCCACUCCUCCACCUCGCGCGUCUGAGCGGCGUCCGUCUUGGCGGCGGCAGUAACGGGGAGCAGUCGUCCUUGCCGGUCUGGUUGAUGGCGGCGGCAGCGCCCCCACCCACCCACCCUCCCUCCUUGGAGACGGAGGAUAGGAGCGGUGAACGGGCCUGCGACUGCUGCUGCCGUACCUGUGCGUCGACGCACUCCGCAUCCGCACGUACCAGGCAUUCGUCGGCGCUGCCCGUGUGCCCAAUCUCUUCCAGUCAGGUUCUUCAAUCCCAUCCUUUCCGAUUAGAUAGAUUAAGUUCAGUUCUAUACUUUUGCAGCUGCAGAGUGUUGGGUUUUAUUGACUCGUCGCCGUCCGUCAUCUCUGAAAUAAUUACAGACAACUUUGCUUUGGAGUUCUGAGAUUGGAAAAGGUGCCCAGUAGCAACAGCUCCACAUCAGGAUGCUUGUUAUUGUUGAGGACAGAUUUUAAUAUUUAGUGCCCUUGACUACCCGAUGUAGCCAUGAUGAUUCAAGUAUUAUGCCUGGAACCGAUUGUUUUCUGAACUCUGGAAGUGAGCUCAGUUGUCCAUUGUCAAAGAGUAAAUUCCAUCUUCCUUAAAGCACCAUAGUCUGACAUCAUUUUUAUCAGGUUUUGGAUCAAUAGUUUGCACUUUGAGCUUAACUUCUUGAUCUCUAUCUCUCAAUGUCAUCUGCUGUUACUCAUUUUUAUGCUUUACAUUAUGGUACAUUGCCUUGACGCUGCUAUGUAGGUUUAAUUAUGGUACAUUGCCUUGUUCAUCUAGAGAGUGCUUAGGUCUCAAUCUGCUGGACCAUCUCAAUUGAUUGGUUGUAUAAACAUGUAGGUUUAAUUUUUCUGUCCAACAGGUAAUCACAUCUCUAGAUGGAGCUUGAGCUGCCAACCCCCAACAGGUAAUCACAUCUUUCUGUCCUCUAAAUCUGAGCUUUUUUACCUCCAAAUAUGAGAAAAUAAAUUGGUGUUUGGAAAAAAUACGCAUGUGGAAAUCUUGUUUGCAUGCCGACUUGUUACCAUUAAUAGGAAAGCUGCUACUGUGUGAGUUGUUGAUCCAUAUCUUGAAGUAUUGUUUAAUGGUAGCUGCUACUGUCAUAGCAUAGUAGUAAUUAGCAACUCUAUGCUGCUUGUAGUCACCUAACUUAAUUUAUGCAUCUACUCGAUGCAGUUAACUUAGUAAUCUGCUUAUGUUUUGUGUUUGCAUAUAUCGAUGUGAGUUCCUGAAGCUAUCCAUUAAUGGAUCAUUGAUAAUUAUAUUGCAUGUAUCUCAAUGAUUAACAAUAUUCUCAGUCAAAUGUAAUCUAAUUCCUGUUUGUUCUUUCUUAUUGAUAUUAUCAGAUGUAGGAUCAUGAAAGUUUCUGGGAAGAUGAUCCUCACUUAAGACUUGGGGAAACGAGCGACAUUGUUCACCCUUGUGGUAUGCUCCUUACACCCAUGUGAUGCUGUAUAGUAGUUGUUGUCCUGCUGUAUUGCUACAGAUGUUGAGGGUUAUCAUUUCAAAUGGUAAAUCUUUCAAAUACAAAUGAACAAGUUUCUUUGAGCUAUUACUUUAGAAAUACUUGUCAUGUACCAUGGUAAGAUACUGAAUUUUUGUGUGGGCUCAAUAUAUGUAAUUGUGCUGAAUUUUGGACCUAAAGAGGCUCUGGCACAAACAAUACUCUCUCUGUUCCAAAAUACAUCUCAUAUAGAUUUGUGCACUUAGACCAAGGCAGCUCUCGUUUCUAGUGCAUAACCACUCAUAUUGGGUUAAUAAUAAAUAGAUGUGGGUAGUUAUUGGCCGCAUGCGGGUUCCAAGAGAAAAUGAGGUGUAUUGUGUAACAAAUGAGAAAAAUCUAUAUACGUUGUAUUGUGGAAUGGAGAGAGUAUUUGACUGACCCUAAUUAGAAAAUGGGAACAUAACUUAUUCAUGUGAGUUGUCCUGUCGGUUUUCUUACAUUUUCCUAUCGGGGUAACAGGAGGACGAAAAAUUGGUAAAUGGGCUGCUACUUUAUUUCCCUGGGAGUGAGCCGACAGCAGUUACUCGACAGGAAAAUUCCGUGAGCUGAUGAGCCUCGACCUGACGACGGAUUAUUUUCCUGUCGUUGACACAUGGGAAUAGCCGUCAGGAAAAUAUCUUCUGUCAGCCAACACACAGACAUUUUCGACUAUCCCUGUAUAGAUAUCCCUGUCGGCCAACACACAGGAUUUAUGUUUCUGUCGGGAAACUGCAUUUUUCCUGUCGGUUCUUGGCCGACAGGGAUAUUCCUGUCUGUAGUAGUGAGUAAAAAUAUCAUUUGUCUAUCUCGUUAAAAGUACUCAUAGAUAAAACUCGCCAAAAACGAAAUCGAUCCUGUUAAUAUCCACCCCUAGAGGAACCCUGGGCAGCUAGCGCAACAACGGUGUCUGACGCAACACCUAGCUUUAACGUUUGGACAGAUCAAUUAAUCGCGGGGGAGGAGGCUCGAAGAAGAAACUGACGUGUGGGAGACAUAUGGUUGGUGUGGACCCGAUCUGUCAUGAUUUGAGAAAAACUGGGGGAAAACACUAGAUGGGGCAAUUUGUGUCAUAAAUUUGCUUAAAUUGGGUAAGCCUUUAGAACUUCCGUUCAAUGGGGUAUAUUGUGUCACAAAACUGAAAUUAGGAGGUAAACAAUGGAAUUCACUAUUAAAAUAAAUAUUUGCUAUAGUUAGCACCAACCAUAUCUCAAGGUAUCAAUCAAACAAAAAUAGUCUUGUUUUUUUUUAUGCAAACAACACAGUGCUAUUAUAUUGCCAAGAAGGUAGACCGGAGUCACCUGCGAAGAACAAAGGAGCAGUACAAAGAGAAAUUACAGGAGGGGAUACAGGGCCCUAAGGCCAAAUUAAAAAGCUAAAACCAAAUCAGGGAACGUCAUCUACUCCGGAGAGAAGUCCAGAGGUGAUGUCCACCGAAACCAGAGCCCAUCUUAGACGAAGUGUGCGAGAGAAUUUGUAAAGAUCAAGGACGCCAAGGCCUCCAAAGCAUUUCGGUAAUCCUACCUUAAUGAGGCAGCUAGCACCCGAGCAGGAGGUCUCACCCUUCCACAACCAUCCACGGCGUAUCUUGUCAAUGGAUUUGAGAAUCGCCGUUGGGACAAACAUAGCCAAGAGGUGAUCGAUCGGAAUCGCGGACAGCACAGAGUGCAGGAUUGUUAUUUUGCCGCCUUUGCUAAGGAUUCUGUUUUUGUAACCCGCUAGCCUUUUGUUGAUUUUGUCCAGAAGCUGCUGAAAUAGGACCUUCCGAGGUUUUGAAAUUGACAGGGGCAGACUUAAACAUGUAGGAAACCAGCAACCAGCGCUGCAAACCCCUGAAGAACCUCCUCGAGAUCGAUGCCCUCACAGCGGAUAGGAAGAAUUUGACUCAUGUGAGAUCGAGAGCCAUGAGCCUUUUGUGACAGACUGACCACACUGAAGUUGCUUGUAAAUAACAAUCAGUCCCAGAUAUUAAACAUCUCUUCUUUCAGAAUGACAGUAACUUCUUUUAUCAUUCAGCGGAUGGCAUUUCUCCUGGAUCCAUGCACAUUAAAAUAUUUAUAAGGCAUCCAGCCUUCUUCCGUGACCUCCCCUCGCCGCUGCCGGGCAAGGCUGCGGCGGUAGCGGCGGGGCUUGGCCGCUGUGUGAUGGCGGUGCGGGCGUGUGACGUAUCGGAAGCGCCGCAGGCGCGUGAGGGCUGAGACGGCGGAGGCCGUGGUGGCGGCUGCAUCGGUGGCAAGGCGGGCUCGGGAGGAUUUGGCUAUAUGGCUUCCCGGUGGAAACCUGAUGUGCGUCCCGGUGCAUGCAAAGCAAUAUUAAAGUCCUCGCUUAAAAGUUGGGGAAAUUUGCUCCCGGACACCAUUAUUUCGUGUGUUUUGCUCAAACACACUCUUCAACCGUGACUUUGCUUAGUACCAUUAUGAUUGUGUGGCCAUUUGCUACAACACACUCUGACAUGUGGAGCUUCAUUGUCAGCAACUCAAUGGCCAUCUUCUUUCUCCUCUAGCAUGACCCUUGCACCCGUAGUCCUCAUUGUGCGCGUCCUCAUUGUGCGCGCUGGUGCAGGUUGACAUAUCAUCGAACACCUUCAACGCGACGAUGCCCAUGGCGUUCCCGGCGUCCUACCUCGUAGGCUCUCUGUAAUUCUGCUCCACCGCCGCUUCCCGUCCGUUGACGAGCUGAGUACCGGUGCCGGACCCGUCCAGUGACGAGCAGCAGAGGAAGGAUAGAUCUCGUCCUCCUCGUAGAACCCGCCACUCCAAUCAUCCUGCCGCUGCCCACACAAGCACUCGACAGCCGAGCCCCACCGUCCUCCCCACUGCACCGACCACGGCUCGUUGCGGCCGCGGACGCCAGCGCGCUCUGCCGCCGCCGAUGGCCGCGACACGCCGACACCACCGCCCGACGCGCGCCCCGCCGGCCACCGUGCCUCGCGCUGGUGCUUUCUUUGCGCCCCUGCUCGCCUGACGAGGCCCUGAGCUUGCCCCACCACAGUCUGCUACCCGCGAGCCCACGUGAGCCAUCCCAAAUGGUGAGAGCCAUCUGUGUAUUGUUUCCGUUUUUCGAUCAAUCUUUGAUGUCGCCGGCGUAUGUGUGUGGGGCUUAAGUGAAUACUACAGCCAGCUGCUGAUCGUUUUUUGCUAGGCUAGUUGUACGCACGCAUCUUGCCGGAGUUCAUCGCCUCUGUCGAAAUUAAUCGAAGUGCUGCUCGUGUGUUGCGAUCUUUUGGUCUGGAACCAACGCGGGCACGCUGCAGGCCAUGUCAAAGGAGGAAAAAGGCUAUUGAGUGGCUGACAAUGGAGCUCCACAUGUCAGAGUGUGUUAUAGCAAAUGGACACAAAAUCAUAAUGGUACUCAGCAAAGGCACCGUUAAAGAGUGUGUCUGAGCAAUGGACACGAAAUAACGGUGUCCAAGAGCAAAUUUCCCCUUAAAAGUUUGAGGUGUCAAGUUAAAAUCUUAUGCAGUUUUAGUAAAAACUGUUGAGAAUAGAGAGUAAACGAGAUUGAGACUAGGCAAAUGAUUUAAGUGUGUGUUCUUUAUUGAUGAUCAAGAUAUAUAUAGAGUAACAAGGGGUGGCAUCAAAAUGUGUGUCCGUUGGAAGAGUUGCCAACAAAGGAUGGCAUUUACAUAUUAGAGAGAGAGGGAAGUGAUGUGUCCCUUAAGCAUGGAUUUAACAUAUGCUAAAUAUAAUUCUAACAAAAACUAAAAAGAGCUGAAGAGUAAUUCAUUCAAGUCGCAUGCUCAGAAAACAGAGAGUCAAGUGCAUGUACGCAUGCUACUAGUAGCAUGCAGCGCAGCUAGCUUCUACGCUUGCAUCUCCUUGCCGAUCGAACCGAGAGUUAAGUGCAUGCUGCACGCAUGAGUAUUGCAAACAGUUUCCAUAUAUAUAGACGGGCUUCAUCUCUAAAAAUCAAUAAAUCUCACAAGCAUCUCUCUCUUCAAUUCAUAUCCAAACUCCCAAUAAUAACAAUGGCAUUCUUGUUUUUGCCAGAGCAACUCAUCUCCACGCUUGUGUUACUUCUAGUUCUAGCUUUGUACGUCAAGUGUAGUAGAUCGAAGAAUCCACUGUACAUCAACUGGCCAAUAAUCGGCAUUCUCCCUUCACUCGUCCUCAACUUCUACAGAUUCCACGACUAUGUCAACCACCUCCUAUCAUUCUCAGGGCACAGCUUCAAGGUGCCCAUAGCCAGCAUGGGCUCCUUCGUAACAUGUGACCCAGCCAAUGUGCAGCACAUCUUCACCUCAAACCAUGCAAACUAUCCCAAGGGUGAGGGCUUUGCCGACAUCUUCAACGUAACAAGUGGCUCCCUGUUCACUGCUGACGGCGAAUCCUGCCGCCGGCAACGUGCAAGGUACCAGAGUGCUUUGAGCAGCCCGGGGUUUGUUGCCUUCACGACCAAGUGCUGCCACGACAAGGUGGAGAAAGGCCUCCUACCCUUCUUCACAAGGGCGGCGAGGAACCGGACUCUCCUUGACAUUAAUGAUCUUAUAGGGAGGCUUGUUUUCGACUUGUAUGCCACGUCCGUCUUUGACGUGGACCCUGGUCUCCUGUCCUUUGACAUGCCGCCAGUGCAACUCGCGGAUGCAAUGGACACGGUCAUGGAGGUGGGCUUCUUCCAGAUCAUCGUUCCGGCAUUUUGCUGGAAAGUGAUGAGGUCCCUUAACAUAGGUCCCGAGAGGAAGCUCGCCGCUGCGCAAGCGGUGCUUCGCGGCUUCACCAUGGAAAUGAUUGAGACUAGGAGGAAGAUUGGCACCCAUAUUGGUCCUGAAGAACAAGCACCGGCUUCAUCCAGCAUGGACAUUCUUUCAAACUUUAUUGAUGACCUGGAAUACAACACCGAUGAUUUGCUCCAGGCAACACUCAUCACCCACAUGAUUGCCGGGAGGGACACGAUCAGCACAACCUUGCCAUGGGUCUUCUACAACCUUGCCAAGAACCCGCAUGUGGUGUCAAGGAUACGCAACGAACUAGCACCCCUUGUUUCACGCAAAGAAACUUUUAUUGCUAGCACUACAAUGACAUUUGAGCCAGAGGAGGUCAAAGCUCUGGUCUAUCUCCAAGCCACCUUGAUGGAGUCACUAAGGUUGUACCCGCCAAUCCCUAUUGAGCGCAAGGCGGUGGCCGCGAGCGAUGUGAUGCCGAGUGGCCAUGAGGUGUGUGCCCAAGAUAUCAUCAUCGUUUCCCUCUACUCCAUGGGUAGAAUGGAGGAUCUAUGGGGGGCUGACUGCAAAGAAUACAAGCCGGAGAGGUGGCUCUCAAAGGAUGGAGUGAUGCUUCGACAUGUGCCGUCUCACAAGUUCUUGGCAUUCAACUCGGGGCCAAGGUUGUGCCUUGGCAAGGACAUCGCUAUUACACAGAUGAAGACCGUUGUCGCUUCAGUCAUGUGGAGCUUUGACAUGGAGGUGUUUGGUGAUCAAGGCAUCGAGCCGAAGCUAUCUUGUCUUCUGCAAAUGAAGAAUGGGCUCAAACUGAAAGUACAGAAGCGAGAAAUGUAAUAUCUUGGGAUUCAUGAGAAUCUAUCAGGAUGAGAGAUUUAGAAAAUGAUUUUGGAUGAAUUGAGGCAUCCGUUCCACCGUCUUUUCACAACUAUAGUAGGGAGAGAGAGCAUUUGCCAACAACUAAGAUAUAGGAAACAUAAUAUAAGUUUCUUUUGAGCAAUAUAAUUUACUUUAUGCUUUAUUUUUUCCUUGUAUCAAAUCUUGUAGGUUCAGUUUUAGUACGACAAAACCUUUUCCCCUUUUGUUAUGCUUGUCUUGAAGAAAGACUUACAUACAUAUGAACUUUACAAGGAAGUUAGAAAUGUUGUCAUGGGAAGCAAAAAAAAAAAGAUGCAAUCAAAACUAAUGACUUCUUCGCCACACGGAGUUUUUAUUGGUGGUACAUCAAGAGAAAACUGUGCAGCAUAUUUGAUAUUCUUUCUGGCCAUGGAAUUAAUAGCAAAACAAACAAAUAUACAUAAAGUUAUUUUGAUGAUAACAAAGAAAAUUAGUCAGCCAACUUGGGGUGAACCCAAUUGACACUAUAAUAGUAUUGUUAAAGACAGAGUUCAAAUUGAUGUAAAAAAACACAUUCAUAAAAGAAGCAACAGCAAGUACAACUUACGAUGCAAGAAAUUCGAGCAAAUUAAGGCAUGGAGGAUACAAGUGAUGCAACCAGCUGACAUCAUUCUACUGGCUAGGUAGCUACUGCAUGCAUGACCAACCACCGGCCCGUAAUAUAGCUUAUUAGUUAAGCUCCGGCGAAAAACUAUGGAACGGUAACAAUGUCACUUCAUUGCAGGAUUUACAAAUAUCACUUUCUUCGUUGCAGGAUUAAUUUAUGUAUCCAAAUUCUGGACGACCGCACCGCUGUGCUGAAUGUAUGCUUUCUUGUCCUCAAGCGAAAUCUUCUUCCUCCCUGCUAACUAAAAUCUUCAAACGCACCAUGAAGACCUAAAACUUUCGAGAUUCGCUAUUGCACAAUCGGCUGAGAAAUAAUAAUUUCUCAGUCGACUCUAUGAACCGUCGAUUCAUGUGCGAUCCGUGCACUCUCAAAUUUGUUCAGGCUUGUUUGGAAUUUCAGAUUGUUGUUGUGCGCUUGUGCUGUUUGUAGCAGGCCCGUCAGAAGUCCUAGCAGGUGCAGGUGUAUGGAUGGCAACUGAGAAAUAACUAUUUCUUAGUCGAUGAUAACAACUUUUUGAUUCAAUCAUUGAGAUUCGUGUAAGAUUAAUGUUGAUCCGCUAGAUAAGAAAGUCUUAUUGGAUGGCUACAAAUGUCGAUUGAGAAAUAACUAUUCUUAUGCGACCGAGAAAUAGACACUCCCUGUAAAAAUUGUAAGUGUAGUUCAUGUGUUUUUUUUCAAAACAAAGAUAGUUUCUUUUUUUAUCACUAAAUAGCAGUCAAGUGUAACUUUCUGUACUAAUGUUUUGCAAUUGCAACCUAGCUUCACUAAUUAUAAGUGUAAUUUUUGUCUUAUCUUUUUUCUUCUUAAUCCUAAUAAAAAUAGCGGUCAAAUGUAAUUUUGUGUGCUAGUAUUUUGCAACUACAACCUACCUUCAGUAAUUAUAAGUGAAUUUUUGUGUGCUUACUUUUCAAUAAUUAUAAGUAAUUAUAAUUAUACUUUAAUACGUUGCAACAGAAGGCCCCUUUGCUAGUAGAUGUUUAUUAUGUGAGUCAGUGGCAGAAUAGAUGUUUAUAUGUUUUGUCAAUUCUCAAAAAGGGAAGAUUUUCUCUCGCGGCAGUAUUCGAUGGCUCUUGCUACUCCUUGCCCACAUUUGGGCAGAAAUUGAGCUUCGGGGAUCCCCUUGAAUUCAAUCUUUUCUACAUAUGCAUCCAAACAACUGAAAUAGUUGUAUAGCUGCAAGAUCUGAAUGAGUAGGGGAAAAUCGCCAAACCCUAGAAUGCGUCAACCUAGCGAAAGUGCCAAAAUAAAAUAAAAAUAGCAGAACAGAGGUCAGAUCUAACCUUGGCUGCCUGCCACCUGAUCUCGCACUUCAUGAAUUCGCAGCCGUAGUCCGCGUGAGAGGUACUAGCCCGUACUUAUGCCAUGAGUGCGGCAGAGCAGAUGAGCUUCCACGAGACAUCAUGGUGGUCCAGUCUCAACAUAGCAGUCGCCCUUGUCGCCGUUGAAAGAGAAAAACGGGGUGGGGAAGAACAAGGGAGGAAAACCGGGUGGCAUGGGGGGAGCCUGAUCGUCCCGUCUUGCAGCCGUCUUGUGGGUCCUACACUAACGUGGAAAUGGUGUGGGUCCCACCUGUCAUGGGUGUUUCCCGUUGUGACUUGGAUAAGUGGUGGUUCCCACUGGUGACAUGGAUAUAUAAGUUGUCGUUGGCAUCCAGGUACAAAAGGCAUCAAAGAUAUAUUUGCGAGGGUAAAAUGGUGCUUGUCGUCCAUUAGAGCUCUUUCAACGUGAAUACAUUUGAAAGAAGGUGUACAUCAAUUAUUUCAUCAUAUAACUAUGUACUACCGCGUUCUACUCUCGCAGCCUACCUAGGAGCUUGUGCUGCUUCAAAAUAAGCUGCAUUAUAGUAUUUUAAUUUCCAUAGGCUGCUCCCCUAAUUUCCACGCGACGGGUUGGUGCCGCUGCCGUCCCAGUCGGUGCGAGCCCACGCGGCCACGCUCAUGGCCUCCAAGUCAGUCCACACAUGCAGAUACGUUUUGAACAUGACACCUGGAGUAGUAGUUAGUACUAGUUAGCAAGGUGGCCGCUUUCCCUAGCGCUCUACUGCCACUUAAUUAGAUCGUCUAUAAAAGGAAAUUAAGAAAGCUAGAAGCAGGAGAAAGCAGCAGCAGUCAGGACAGGUCAUCAGCUGCUAGCACUACUGCAGAAAGGUUUAUCACUAACGGUCGAAAAACAACAUCAGUAACGAUCGGGGCCGCCGUUGCUAACUUCGUGUUACUGAUGAUGGGUAUCAUCAGUUCACUAACUGUCGUAGUGACCAUUAUUUAUGUAUAUAUACAUCAGUGGCGGACGGGCUGACACGACCGUUACUGAUGUAUAUAUCAUCAGUAACGGUCGCGUUGCCACAUCAGUGUCGGUCGCUCAGUGUUGGUCGAGCGACCGACACUGAUACAUUUUCGGUAUUUAAAAAAAUAAUUAAAAUCACAGAAAAUACAUAGGAAAUACACGUAAUUGUAUAUACAGCACAUCACAGAUUGUAUAUACAGCAUAGCACAUAAAAAUACAUAUUAAGCCGCAUCACAUCACAGCACAACACAUCACAUCAUAUCAUUUAAACCAUACAAAUGUAUAUAAAGCCGCAUCAUCUAAAGCAUAUAAAGAAUAUGUCGCACCAGUGGCACCCCGGGUACCACCGCUGCGCGACGCGUGGGCCCCUCCCCCGGGUUCCCGGGAAGGUCUCAUCCCGGGGAGCGCUGACGAGCUCCCCGGCAAGCUACCAGCCCGAAAGGGGCAAGCGGGGCUUCUGGAAAUAUUCCCGGUUAGGCACCUCCCGGGAAGCUGCUUCCCAGGAGGAGGUUCCCGGGUGCGCUGGUCCCGGGUGCUUCCCGGGCCGACUUGCGGGGACUGGGGGUUCCCGGACGCGUGCCCCCGCCUCGGGUCGUGGGGCCCACUGGACAGCGCCACACGAGCGCGUGACGGGCGCGGAAUGCGCGGUCCCACCAAGGCAAGGGGUAAGGCACGCGGCUCAACCGCCUCCACCGCCUCCCCGACCGUCGACCGACAAUCGGCCGAGGGGACCAGCUGCCCCCCGCGCCGGGGGCAGUCGGGCGAGCACGCAUGGCGUCGCCCGGGCCAGCCAACGGGUGGAGUCGCGACCCGAGGAUGCCCUGCGGCAGCAGCACCCGGAGCACGCCGCGUCACGGGCGACCUCUGGAGGUUCGCACCCUGCGCACCCGGAGGCGUCCGGGGCUAGGGCGGGAAGCAGCCGUUCAUGAAAUCGGUUGCCCCCCGUGCGAACCCCGGCUGAAGCCAUCGUCGCCGCGCGCGUCAUGGUGCGGUACGAGCCGCAGCAGGGCACGCCGGCACACGAGACGUGGGGCGAGGAGUUGGAAGCGCUUCUCGCCUUGGCCGCCCAACAGCCGCAAGGCGAGGGCGCCCCGGUAGGCUCCGGCCACGGGCCGAACUCAGAGCGCGAAGGCGCGCCGCCCGCCUCGCGACAGGGGAGAACCCUCCCCCUCCUCAGCGGGGCCUGGUAGACGGGGGCCCGGAGGGGUCCUCGAAUUCGUCGCCCACCGUCCCGGAGGGCGAUGCGCGUGGCAUCUUGAAUGCCCGAGAACAGGAGGAUCUGCGCCCGUGCUUGGAGCGCCGGCGCAGGCGCGAGGUGGAGCGCCGGCACCCACUGGAGCAAGAAGAUGCUCCCCUGGGCCCAGAAGACGGCUGCACCGCGUUCGCGCGCGAGUUGCGGCGGGUGGUGUGGCCCCGUAAGUUCCUAGCGCCUGCGCUCGGUACGUACGACGGGACCGCUAACCCCAAAGAUUUUCUCCUGACCUAUACGCUGGGCAUGCAUGCCAUCGGCGCCGACGACAAGGUCAGGGCGAACUGGUUCCCGAUGGUCCUGAAGGGAUCAGUGAGAACCUGGUUGCUCAACCUGCCCGCCGGAUCCGUCGCCACCUGGGCAGACCUGUGCGAGCAGUUCGUGAGCACGUUCCAGGGCGGUUAUAAGCGCCCGGGAACCAUGGCGGAGCUGCACACCAUCGUGCAAAAACCGGGAGAGAUGUUGCGGGCCUUCGUCAACCGCUUCUCCAAUCUCUCCUAUUCUAUCCCGGAGGCGGAGGCGGCCGCCAUCAUCAACACCUUCGCCAUCAACGUCCGCGAUCCCAAGAUGCGUGAGAAGCUGAGCACGCAUCGGAUCCGGACGACGCAUGACUUGUACGCCUUGGCGCACAAGUGCGCCAUGGCCGAGGAGGGGCGCCUAGCGCCCGAGCUGGCAGCCCAGGCUGCCGCGAGCCCGGGCUCGGGCUCGCAAAAGAAGGGUUCCCGUAAGCGCAGCGGGAAGCAAGUCCUCGCUGCGGACUCGGGGGCUCCUGCUGCGAGGGCCACGAAGAAGGCCUCGCUGGGGGGAGAGUCUGGCAGGAAGCAGAGCGAUGCGGCCCGCUGCCCUAUCCACAACAACUCCACCCACGACGCGCAGAGUUGCCGCGUCCUGCAAGGGAUCAAGCAGCGGAGGGAGCAGCGCCACGAGGAGCGCCGUGCCGCUGGCGCCUGCUUCAAUUGUGCCCGAACGACCCCAGAGCAGGUCCGAGGCCGGCCGGCGGUGGUGCCGGCAGGGUUGAACCCCAAGGAGGGCGCAGCCAGCCCCUCGCUGCACGGGAACGCCCUCCUCGGGGGCGUGACAGGGCGCGAACCGAGGAGCAGCGGGAGUCCGACCAUUCCGGCGGCGACGAGCCAGGCUUCCAGGAGCCUCGUGGCGUCGCCUGCAUCCAUGGGGGAGCUUACGCUCUCCCAUCCCACGCCGCGGUGAAGCGCCUCACCCGCGACGUGUGCGCGCCGUUGCCGGAUGCGGAGCCGCAACAGCCGCUGAGGUGGUCGCACGUGCCGAUCACCUUCAGCGCCGACGACCACCCGGUGCGACCGGGGUAAUACCCUUCGUCGUCUCGCCGAUCAUUAGCAAUAUGACGGUGACCAAGGUGCUGGUGGACAACAGAGCGGGGCUUAACCUCCUAUCCGCCAGGCUGGUGGAAAAGCUCCAGCUGCCGAUGGAGCAGCUGAAGCCCACCAAACCAUUCCGGGGGGUGAACCCCGGGAUCGUGCGCCCGCUGGGACACAUCAUGCUGCCGGUCACCUUCGGGUCCCGGGAAGCAUUCAGGACCGAGCACAUAGUGUUCGACGUGGCGCAUACCCCGUUGCCCUACAACGGGAUCCUUGGUCGGCCGGCGCUGAUCAAGUUUAUGGCGGCUACGCAUUGCGCCUACGGCGUGAUGAAGAUGCCGUCCGUCUACGGAGUCCUCUCCAUCGGGUGCGAUCUCAAAGACGCUGCUUGGUGUGUUGGCGAGGUCGUCCGGGCUGCUGCUGCAGCUGACGCCGGCGACGAAGGUGUUGUCGAGGACGACGCCCUGCCGGGUGACGCCCCGGCAAGGAAGAAGGCCCGCGCCACCCCGCAAGGGCUAGCCGGAGGAGGCGCGGGCUCGAGCGCGCGUCCCGGCAAGGGGCGGGGGCUCCGGGAGGAGGCCGCCAAAGUGAAGAAGCUGCCCCUCCAAGCCGGCGACAAGGAGCGCACCGUUACCGUCUGUGCGAACCUGACCGCCGAAUAGGAAAGCGCCCUCGUCACCUUCCUCCGGGAAAACGCCGACGUGUUCGCCUAGGAACCGUCGGAGCUUCCCGGAGUCCCCAGGGAGGUGAUUGAGCAUCGGCUCGCGGUGCGCCCGGACGCGCACCCCGUCAAGCAGAAGAUCCGGCGGCAGGCACAAGAGCGGAAAGAUUUCAUCAAGCAAGAGGUGGGCAAGCUCAGGGCUGCCGGGGCGAUCAGGGAAGUUUUGUACCCCACUUGGCUGGCUAACCCUGUAGUAGUGCCCAAAUCGGGGAAUAAGCUUCGCAUGUGCGUAGAUUUUAUAGAUCUUAAUCGUGCAUGCCCCAAGGAUCCCUUCCCUGUACCCCGUAUCGACCAGAUAGUUGAUUCUACCGUUGGUUGUGACCUGUUGAGCUUUCUGGAUGCUUUCUCCGGCUACCAUCAAAUCAAGAUGGCGGUCGAGGAUGAGGAAAAGACAGCGUUUAUCACCCCGGUUGGCUGCUACUACUAUACAUGCAUGCCUUUCGGGUUGAAGAACGCGGGCUCCACAUUCCAGCGCGCCCUGCGAGAAUGUUUGGGGCCCCAGCUAGGCCGCAACGCGGAGGCCUACAUGGAUGACAUCGUCAUCAAAUCGAAGCGUAGGGACUCGCUGAUUGAUGACCUGCGGGAGACAUUUGACAACCUCCGCAAGAUCAAGCUCAGGCUGAACCCUGAUAAGUGCACCUUUGGUGUCAACUCCGGGCAGCUUCUGGGUUUCUUGGUUUCACACCGGGGGAUACAGGCCAACCCGACCAAAAUAGAAGCCAUCGAGAAGAUGGAGGGCCCCCGCAAGGUGAAAGAUGUUCAGCGCCUCAACGGCUGCGUUGCCGCGCUUGGACGCUUCAUCUCCAGGCUGGGCGAGCGUGCCCUUCCUUUCUUCCGGGUACUGAAGAAGAAGGGUCCAGUCGACUGGACUGCCGAGGCUGAGGCGGCGCUCCAGGAACUCAAGCGAUACCUGAGAUCACCGCCCAUCCUCGUCGCCCCCAAGUUGGGCGAGCCGUUGCUACUCUACUUAGCGGCGACUGACCAAGUGGUCAGCUCGGUGCUGGUUGCCGAGAGGGAGGAAGACAUCCCGGGGAUUGGGGCUGCGGGGCAGGGGGCUGAGCAGCCUCCGGCAACCACCUCAAACCCAGGGACCACCCCAGAGCCGGCAACCCCGGCGCCUCGGAAGUGGUUGGUGCAGCGACCGGUGUACUUCGUCAGUACGAUGUUGCGCGACGCGCGGACAAGAUACCCGCAAGUACAAAAGCUCCUUCUGGGGAUCCUCCUUGCGUCCCGCAAGUUGCGCCACUACUUCCAGGCGCACCGCGCCACGGUGGUGUCCGGGUUCUGCCUCGGGAGGACCCUCACCAACUGUGAAGCCACCGGGAGGGUGGCCGAAUGGAGGAUGGAGCUGUCGGAGUUUGACCUCCACUUCGCCAACUCCAAAAGCAUCAAGAGCACGGCCCUGGCGGACUUCGUCGCGGAGUGGACGUCCACGGGCGUAGAAGAAAGUGAGUCGGAGACCGGCCUUCCCGGCAAGCUGGACGAGGGCCACUGGGUCCUCUACUUCGACGGUGCGUUCAGUCUCCAGGGAGCGGGGGCCGGGGUCGUCAUCGAGUCACCCACAGGGGACCAGCUGCGGUUCGCCGUCCAACUCGACUUCGCUAACUCCACCAACAACACGGCGGAGUACGAAGGCCUGCUUGCCGGGCUGCGGGCAGCGGUCGCCCUCGACAUUAAGCGCCUGGUUGUUCGCGGUGAUUCCCAGCUUGUGAUCAACCAGGUGAACAAGGACUACGAUUGCCCUCAAAUGGCGCCAUACGUAGAAGAGGUCCGCAAGCUGGAACGGAAGUUCAAGGGUUUGCGCUUCGAACACGUCAAGCGGAACGACAACUUCUCUGCUGACGAGCUGGCCAAGAUGGCAGCGGAGCGCCGAAAGCCUCCGGCGGGGGUGUUCUGUCAGAAGCAACUGGCUCCUUCAGUCACCCCCCAGCCAGCUGCCGGGGACGCCCCUCCGGCAACCGAGGGAACCCCUGCAGCAGCAGGGGUCCAUGCCGCUGAUAUGGCGGCAUGCGUUAGCAGAGAAAUUCCUCCCUGGGCGGAAGAGAUCGCCCGCUAUUUGAAAGGGGAGGCUCUCCCGGAGGAUGACGUCACUCCGGAGCGCAUAGCGCGGCAAGCCAAGAUGUACACUGUGAUAAACAGCAGCAUCUACCGCAAGCGUGCAAAUGGUGUCAAACUUAUCUGCGUGUCGCAGGAAGAAGGGUGUCCGCUGUUGGAAGACAUACAUCGAGGCACAUGUUCACACCAUGUGGCCUCCCGGGCUUUGACCGGCAAAGUUUUCCGGCAUGGCUUCUACUGGCCCACGGCCUUGGUCGACGCAGAGCGGCUGGUGAGGACGUGCGAAGCGUGCCAGUUCCACUCAAAGAAGAGCAACCAACCAGCCCAGGCCCUGCAUGUCAUCCCGUCCUCAUGGCCGUUCGCGGUCUGGGGACUGGACAUCGUCGGCAAGCUACCAAGGGCGGUUGGCGGUUACGAAUACUUGUUUGUUGCAGUCGACAAGUUCUCCAAAUGGGUGGAGGUGGAACUAGUGCGCAAGGUGACCGCCCAGGCGGCCAUCAAGUUCUUUAAGGGCAUUGUGUGCCGGUUUGGUGUUCCUAACAGCACACCGACAACUGCACGCAAUUCACGAGCGCGGCGUUUCACGCCUACUGCGAAGACAUGGGCACUAAGCUGCGCUUCGCGUCCGUCGCUCACCCGAGGAGCGACGGGCAGGCGGAGCGAGCCAACGCAGAGGUUCUGCGGGGGCUCAAGACGAGAACCUUCGACAAGCUCAAAGGCCACGGGAAGCACUGGAUCGAAGAACUCCAGCCCAUGCUGUGGUCCAUCCGGACCACACCUAGUCGGGCAACGGGCGAAACUCCUUUCGCCCUUGUCUACGGGGCAGAAGCGGUGCUGCCUCUCGAGCUCAAGUACGGAUCUCCCCGAGUACGCGCGUACGGCGACACCAGCCAACACGAGCAAAGGGUCGACGAUCUAAACUUCAUAGAAGAGUUUCGGUGCCGGGCUGCUGUGCGAGCCGCGCGCUACCAGCAGGGACUCCGUCGUUAUCACGACAGACGAGUCCGUCCCCGGGGGCUCGAGAACGGAGACCUUGUUCUGUGCCGGAUACAAGGAACGAAGGCCGGGAACAAGUUGACUCCGAAAUGGGAGGGCCCCUUCCGGGUAGUGCAGGUGACCAGGCCGGGGGCUGUCCGCCUGGAAACCGAAAACGGCUUGCCGGUGCCCAAUAGUUGGAAUGUUGAACACUUGCGCAAGUUCUACCCGUGAAGCGGUGGAGCCCAACCCUCAGGUGAUGCCUCCGAUGCAUACCUCUCGAACUAGUGUAACCGAGCAGCCCCCGUGUGUAAACCGCUAGUUAAUUGUGAAUAAAGAUAAGUAUUUCACCCCUGAGCUUUGUUUUUGUCUUGUUCAUUCGCGUGUUUUCCCUCUUGCCUCCUGCUUUAAGUGCACAAAGGUGUCUUUCCCUACUUGGUUGUGAGCAAGGGGCUGCCGUGGCCCGAACGAAAACCCGUUGCCGGAUCGUUCCGGCACGGGACAUGCCGUUGGCGGGCUUCCCGCAACAUGCAUCACUACGCAUGCAGCUGCUCGGCCUCCCGCAGCCUGCACCGCGUAGUCGCUCCGCGUGGGAAAGGAAAUGCUCACAUCCAAGUUUGGCAUUGACCCCUUUGUGCCGGGGGCUAGGAAGCAGGAGAGAUUUAUCUGUUUUACCUGUGUUACUUGUUUUCGUAAGUUUCGAAAAUUUUUGCAGCACCUCGAAUAUGGUAAGAGUCUAACCUGCAGGAAAGGGAGGAAUCUUGUACACUGUGGUGCCCGUGAGCUGCCCACGGGUCGCACCAUGCACCGGUGCCUUGUGGUGAGGGAGGUCCGCAACACAAGGGAUUCCCCGCACUCCGAGGCUUCUGAGUUGACAGCUUGCCGCCGCGUGUGCCGCGGUUACUCGGUAAGCAUGGCGGCGGAAACUGCGCCGCGUUCGAAGAAAAGGCGCCGCGGUGCCGCGCGGAUCCGUCGCACGCGGUGGCAAGCCUCCCUCCCGCAUCUAUAAAAGGCGCGCCCCAACCACGGAAUGGCUCAGAGCGAAGCCGGUUCGGGGCCGUGAAGGCAGGUGGUGCAACAGAGGCGCGGGGGUGGUGCUUCCCACCGGCGCCUAGCGCCGGCGGGUGUGCUGCCAUCGUGCCCCUGCUGCGUCACUCCAUCGAGCCCACCCCGAGGGGCGCCACAGAGGCAUGAUGGUAGUGAAUGCCAUAGGCAUCCCACGCGACGGGUGCACUGCUGUUGUGCCCCUGCUGCAUUUCCCCAAAGGGGCGGUUCCGGGGCGAGGGUCGCCGCAGAGGCACUGUGGUGGUGCAUCCCAUCAGCGUCCGGCGCCGACGGGGUGCAUUGCCACAGUGCCCUUGUCGCCCCCCUCCGAAGGGCACCUCCGCAAGGAGCAGGGGCUGCCCCCGCGUUCCCGCCGCAUCCCUCCGAGAUCGUUUCCCUUGAACAGGUACCCCAGAUGGUUUCCUACCGAGGCAAUGCCCCGUCUGCACUGUACCACAGAACAUCGCGGAACAUUGGACCAAACGGAAAAGCUAAGUAUCUGAACAUGAACGCUGAAUUCGCUAAGAGCUGAACGAAACUGAGCACUGCCCCGCUGGGUGCGACCCCGGAUCCCGCGCGUAGCCGGAGUGUUAGAAGGGACGCUUGCGGGGGGAGUGCGCUCCCCGUGUGGCUCCCGGGUCCGCCCCGGGAGGACACGGCUUGGAGUGGUUACCCCGCAAGCGGAGUGACUCCCCGCUACCGCUUGGCCCCAGGUCGGCACUGCGGGUCCGUCCCGGGUCCCUGGUCUGGUCAAGGGUGAGGCGUGCGCGAGUCCCUCCGCAACACAAGGCAAGACACGCAAAGGCUAAGGGAACCACCCCGCGAGGCGGCCUCGGGAAUAAAAGACAAAAACCGAGCAAACUAACAAGCUUGAUUGACUAGGUGUCGAGUGGUUACAUGGACUAAUCAAAAGGUCAUUGUCCAAACGGCGCUAAGCGCCAUACUUGCAGGAAAAGCAAACAAGGAGGUACAGGGGAAGCAACGAGUAUAGCUAGCUGUCGCCGUCUUCGGCCGGGGGGUCGACCGGGGGUUCAGGCUCCGGCUUCAUCUGCAUCCGCUCGACGACCUCGUCCAUGAACUCGCGCACUGCUUGGGUGUGCGUGGGCUCGUCCUCGCUGUCGGACCAAGCAUCCAGCAGGGACUUGAAGGGAAAUUCCGGGUCCCGGAGAUGAAUCCGCGGGAGGAUUGUCCCGGCAACCUCCCGGGCGCAGUUGGCGACUUCGUUGGCGCCAUACUUGGCGAUCCAGACAUCGAGCGCCCCAAGCUUCCCCAACAAGUCGGAGAAGAAGGGAAUCAGCGUCGUGACGUCCGUGCCAUCCACCUCCGCCGCCUGCAGCUCGAACUUAGGCAGCAGGUCGCGCAGCGACUCGGCGAUCUUCGCCAGCUUCUCCGUCUCAACCUGCCGCUGCCCGAUCAGCGUGCCAUGAUGGAGUCGGGCAUCUUGCGCGGCCUUCUUGGCCUUGCUGACACGGCCCUCCAGCUUCGCAAGCUCUAAGGCUUGGGUCGCGUUGGUCUCGCCGGCCUUGGCGAGCUCUUCCCGGACGGCGGCCAACUCGUCCUCAAGCCCGGCCGCUUUGCCUUUGACCGAGUUGAGCUCGGCCUCGUGCUGAGUCGCCGCUCUCGCCGCAUCCUCGGCGGCCUUGACCUGCACCUUCAACAGGAUGCGGAGGCCUUCGAUUUCACCGUGGUAGUUGGCGAUUAGCUCGCUCUUCUCGUCCAGCCGCACCUAGGCCGUCGCGAGCACCUCGGCAUGCUCCUUCCGGGAAGCUUCUAGGGUUGCCGCCAUUGCGUCGAUCCUUCCUUGGAGCUCCGUGCGCUGGACCUCCAGUUGCCGACGGAGCUCGGUUUCCAGGACUACCGGCUCCCGAGCCGCCUCCAGGGCUUGCCUGGCCAGCCGCGCCUCCUCUUCGGCGAGGUGCGCCUCCUCACGCAGCCGGGAGAGUUCGCGCCGCUCUCUCUUGACAGCCUCCCGCACCUUGCCGAGUUGAUUCUUGGCAGCAGUAUGGCGCUCCCUCACCUUGUUAUAGGAGGUGACGAAGGCGAACUGCUGGUCCCGGACGGCGUCCAGGAACCGGUGCCCCCGCUCGAAGACGCUCGGAUCUCAGGUAAGAGGAUUCCAAGCGACCCCGGCGAGGCUGCCGAGGUCGGUGCCGGGGAGAGCCCCCGAGGAUGACGAAGCCCCAGCAGCCGAAGUAGAGCUGGGCGCGGGGUCGCCAACUUGCUCCCGGGGGUCUUGCCGUCCUUCCCGACAACUUCCCCCGCGCCCUGGCUCCAGGACACCCGGGUUGGAGAGGGUUCCCUGCUUCCGGCGGGGGUCGUCCCCUGCUGGACAGCGGGUGAGCCCGAGCCGGCCACGUCCGCUACUUCGGGCGCGUCGCCAGGUGCCGCGGCGGCGGCGGCGGUCCCCGCUGCUGCCGCUGUGUCCGUCGCGGCGGGGGCGGACACGGGAGCCGUUUCCGACUCCACCUCCGCCCCCGCGGUCCCGACGACCGAGCCGGGGUCGACCACGGUCGCGCCUGUUCCGGGCGCGGGCGCGCUAGUGCCUGCAACCGUGGAAAAGCAUGAGGGUCAGCGAUGGUUGGUGCUUUCGGAGGCGAAUAAGGGCGACCGGGGCGGUUACCUUGUGCGGCCGUCGAGCUUGCCGGUGCAGCCGCCCCUACCUCGCCUGCGCCAGCGGGAGCGUCCAAGGGUCUUGCCGCGGGCGAGUUGCCACUCGCUGCAGAAAGAGAAGGUAUGGUUGUGAAUUUGGCUAGCAGGAAUUGCAGUUGCAGAGAAUCAACGAAGACAUACCUGGUGCCGGCUCUGUCUCCGCUUGGGCUGGGUCGCCAAGGGGCGCGCCCGCGCUGACGCUGGCCCUCGAGGCAGCAGGGUCGGUGGCGCCGCCAGCGUCCGCGCGCAUCCUCUUGCUUGGCGAGCCGGGCGGGGAAUCACUCCUCGCCCUCUUUCUAGCGCCCGCCGGCGAGGAGGACUUCAGAGGAUUGCGCCGGAGCGCGAAGCCCCGGAAGACCCCCCGAGCGGGCGGCGCCGUGGGCACCCGCGGAGUCGUCGUGACCCGGAGAGCUCCAGGUGUUGAUGGCGAUGCCGCUGCGACGCCGGGCACCAAGCUCUCGGAGGCCCCCGCUACCGGAGCGAAGGCCGUCGCCGGGGCACCGGAGAACCCCGCAGGUGCUGGAGUUGCCGGGGUACCGGCGGGCACCCUGGGACCAGUUCCCGUCGUGGAGCUGGCGGCCACCGCCGAGGCACUCGCGGCCCCUAUUGCCGCCGAUGCCGUCGCGGUACCAACGGGCGCCCCAGGAGCGGCGGCGGCCGCCAGGUUAGGGGCCGCUACCGGGGCGGACGUCGCUGUUGAGGAAGUGGCUGCGGCCGCCGCGAACGCCCUCGACCUUCUCAGGAUUAGGGGCGCGCUGUCGCUGCUUUCCUCGUCGUCGUCCUCCACGGCAACGACUUUCGGGGACGCAGCCACCUGGCCCGCCUCGUCGUCCAGCGACCGGAGGAAGGGCCAGCUGGGCUCGGACCCGCCCUCGCUCUCCUCGAGCACCUGCUUCCCGCGGGGUGCUUGUGGGAGAGCGUGCGGGACGCGGGUGGGGGUGUCGUCCAUCAGCCCCCACUCGUUGCAGGGCGGGAAGGCGCCGACGAUGUCACUGAGCGCCUUGACGCUGGCAUGGAGAGCGGAGACCCCCGGCGGGAACUCUGUCCCCUUCACCCACGUCUUGAGGGACUCCAAGUCCAUGCCGUCCGCCUGGAGGCAUGUCCUGUCCCCGGAGCCCGUGUACAUCCCCGCGGGCCGGGAACGUAGCUGCAGCGGGGCUAUGCGCCGAUGCACGAAGGUGCGCACCACGUCGACAUCUGUGAGCCCCGCUAGCCGCAACGCCUUGAUCUUCUCCACGAUGGGGACGAGGUCGGCGUCGUGGUGGUACCUGUCCUGCCAUCCGAUCUGGGGCACCGGCAGCCCUGUCGGCGGUUGGAUGAACUCCUGGGGGUCCUCCACUCGGACCCAGCACCAGUCGCCCCGCCACUCUUUUUCGAUCUUCUUCCCCGACCGAACAAUGAACUCUGACUUCAUCUGGUCGCGGGCGUGGAAAACCACCCCCGACGACAUCGCCUUCGCGUUAUCGAUGCGCGGGUAAAAGUAAUGGCGAAAGAGCCCCACCGACGGCAUCACCCCCACGAACGCCUCGCAGAGGAAUUGGAAGGUGGCGAGGAGGAAGAGCGAGGUGGGGUGGAGCUGCGCCACCCGCAACUGAUAGGACUCCAUCAGCGCGUGGAGAAACAGAGAGAAGGGCGGCACCAUGCCGCAGAGGAGGAAGCGCGCGAACACCCGUAAGUCGUUAUCCUGGUGUUCGACGCCCGCCGGGAGGAUCCGCGUCUCCCCGUGCUCGUUGAAGUUGGAGGCGACGGCGUGCCGGAGCUUCCCCAGCGCCUCGCCGUUGUAGCCGGGGCGGAAGAAGGCUACUUUUGCACGCAUCUCCCGCCUCUUCUGGUCCUUGGCGGCGGCCGCUUUGAGUGCCACCUCGGUCUUGCUGGUCGCGGGCUUCUUUGAAGACUGGACCACCUUCCCUUUCCUGGUGGUGGGGGGCCCCAUGGGGAGCGAGGGCGGAAGCUGGCAAGAGCGCGGGGAUGCGAGAUGCGGAACAGGAUGGAGGCAAAAGGGCAAAGUGUUGCUCCCCGUUGCCAACAGUGGAAGCUUUAUGACGCCCGGUCGUUUGGUAACGGCCGGUUCCGUACCCUACGGGUGCGCGGGGAUAACUCCUAAUCACUGGGAGUAAUGCGCGGAGUGGCCUUAACUACCCUAUUUAGGGGGGGGAGUUAGGAUGGAAAUCUCGCGCCCACUACUCCGCUUUUGGCGGUGCCGUACAUGGGGCAGCGAAGGGACGCGGGCCCGCAACUGAUCGGGGGCCCACGCAUCGGUUAUGGGCGUAGCCCGGCAACCGACUAGGAAGAGACCCUUCCGGGAACAAGUGAUGCCGGCCCAUGCCCGGGGGCUACUGUCGCACCAGUGGCACCCAGGGUACCACCGCUGCGCGACGCGUGGGCCCCUCCCCCGGGUUCCCGGGAAGGUCUCAUCCCGGGGAGCGCCGACGAGCUCCCCGGCAAGCUACCAGCCCGAAAGGGGCUAGCAGGGCUUCUGGGAAUAUUCCCGCUUAGGCACCUCCCGGGAAGCUGCUUCCCUGGAGGAGGUUCCCAGGUGCGCUGGUCCCGGGUGCUUCCCGGGCCGACUUGCGGGGACGGUGGGUUCCCGGACGCGUGCCCCCGCCUCGGGUCGUGGGGCCCACUGGACAGCGCCACACGGGCGCGUGACGGGCGCGGAACGCGCGGUCCCACCAAGGCAAGGGGUAAGGCACGCGGCUCAGUAAACGAGCCAACCGACGGGUAGUUACCCGUCCGAUCCAAGGAACAGUGGUUGUCCAAUCCUACCCUAGGGCCCUAGGCCCCUAGCAGCGGAGGUGGCACGCAUGCAUGCCACCAGCUCACCAGGGAGAGUUGCGUGACUCCCCAUUGGACACUUGUAGCCCAUGCACCGUGGCACGUGUGGCAUCCCCUUGUGUAUAAAAGGAGGACCCAUGCCAACGGUCAAGGAGGUUAGAUUGUUGACGGGUCAGACAGCUGGAGAGGUUAGUCGAUUGGUCAGUUAGUUGGUUCGGACGAAGCUCGCUCGAUAGAUGCUUACUGGCUCCAGUAGGCAGCCGGCGGAGAGUAGUGAGGAGUGCCUAGCCACUGAGAGAAAGCCCGGGAGCUUGCCCGGCAACCUGUAAUCAUUUGAUCCGUAAUCAAUAUCAGCUCAGACAGGCAGGACGUAGGGUUUUACACCUCCGGGUGGCCCGAACCUGGGUAAAAAACGUGCGUGCGUCUGUUCUUGGACCAGCGCGUACCCCUAGCACUUUGCCUCGCCGGCCCCGUAGGGCCUCAUCGGCUGUGCCGGCGAUCAUCUGGUCUUCACCCCAGACGCCCCUACCGAACCUAAAAGGGGGACGUGGCUGCACGCCCCCGGUGUCGGAGCACCGAGCGACGACAGAAUACAAAAGUUUCUCACUUCACGACAUUGAUUACAAAGUAUCAAAAUUUCAUAGAAGCAUAAUUACAAAGUGUCAAAAUUUCAUAAAAGCAUAUAAAGAAUAUAAAUGUAUCUCAUUUCAAGCUAGGUCAUAAUGUUGUGGGUGAAUCCUAGACACCACUUGUUCCACGCGUUCGUACAAGUCCCCACUAGGCUUGAUGACCUGAUUGUUGAUGAGAUGGGCGAACUCCCUUUGAAUGUUAUACACGACCCAUUUAGUUCGGUGUCCCAUUGUCAUUCGGGGCCGCCAGUACUCUUCCAUCGCCGCGACUGACCCCUUCCACUCAGGGUUGAACAUGCUGGCAUUCUCCAUAAGGAUGUGAUAGCAGUAGUAGCCACAGAACACACUGCCGGGCGGCUGUUGCUGGCAAGUGAACCUGUGGUUGUGGUGAGGCUCGUCUUUACAGCCUUUACCAGCUAGUUUUCCCCUGGUCGCCACUUUCUAGGCAGUGUUAAUGAGUGAUUUGAUGGGUUUCCAGAACCUACCUCGAACACCCUUCUUCGGAAGUAGUGAAUCGAAGUAGUACAGCACGGACCAAAGCAAACAAAUGAGUAGUGUGAUCCAAUGGUCUCUGUUUUUAAAAGAGACAAACUUUAGUAUCUAAGGGUGUAUAAGGAAGACUGAAUUAGAAAAAAACAGACGGUUCCAUAUAUAAAAUUGAACUUACUCCAAAUUAAGGAAGAAGACGAUAAAGUCGUUGUCCGCGUAUUUCUCGAGACAUGACACCAAGUAUUUAGAUACAAGGGUUCUUGAGGCAUCUUUUUCUGGUUCAAGACUGAUGUCACCGUAGUUGAACAUCGCGGGGUUUAGAAUGGCUACUUUUUUGACCUCCAUUCGCCGCAGUUCUCUUAUUUGGUAGGCAAACCACAGCCUUAAGAGGUUGAUAUCAAGCUUUUGGUGGUUGAAGAGGUGGAACAGUUUGUUGAACUCCACACCAAAUGUGAUAGGACGUUCCUGAAUGUUCCCGGUUUCUUGGUCAAAGAAACCAUAGUCUUUUGGGAUUCGAACAUUGAUCUGUUUGGCAUGCUGUUGAGAACCAGAUGAUGCUUGCAUGUAGAACUGAUGAAGCUCUUGCAUCUCUCUGGACACGGCACGCAGGGAAUCUUCGGUGACCAUCGGUCUUCCAGGAUAUUAAUAAGCACCCGGUCAAACUCCCUAGCCACGAAAUAGGAUCCGUCUUCAAAUCUCUGGCCUUGACGAGGGUUCUUCAUGAGAAUGUCAGGCCUAUUGUCCUCUCAGACUCCAAUUAUGCCAGGCACAUAGUGCAUCUCAUCUUGAGUGACAUUGGAGGACUCCUUGAUGGUCUUGCCGCCGCGCCCCCUCUUUUUAUGCCUCCUCUUAUUGUCCCAUGCCUUCUGCUCCUCUGCCUUGUACUUGUCAUCGAUUUUGCGGCCACCCAUGGACUUAGUGGCACCCACGAGAGAGAAGGUUGGAGGGACGCUUCCAGCCUGUGCCGACCCUGUGGUCUGGCUAUCUUUGAACUGUGCAGGCAUCGACAUUGCCCGCUCUUCAUCUCCGCCGGCAUCGACAGGAGGAAGUAUCCUAGGGGAAAGGCUGAGCGGCGAAUGAGAAGUACCUUUGUGGGCGGAGGGAGAUGGAGUCAUAGAGGACCGGCGCUGGUUGUGGAGAGAUACCAAGCUUCUAGGCCAAAUAAUGCGGUAGUUUGAACAACCGCCUAAGAUAUCCACGCCUUCCUUCGGAGGUAGCGGGAUAGCAUAAUCCCGAUGCUCCUCGACAACGGAGUCCACCAUCACACUCGCUUGUGCAUCAUUCAUAAGAAUGCCGUGCACUAGUGGCGGUGAUUGUCUGGGCAUCAGGCAGCCAAUGGCGCCUACAGGCUUUCCAGGCUUGUCAACGUGGAUACGACACUUCACCGGUGCCUGUGCGUAACAAAAAGAAGGCAUAUGUGUGUAAGAUCUUUAUUCAUGAAGGUAAGUAGUGAAAAAAAGUUUGAAAAGUAUGCUUACAAGGAUGUUGUCGCUCGGACCCGGAUCGUUAUCCCGGAUGCCCUCGCUUGGGUCCGGUUGGCUAGCGGGGGGGUUGUCCAUGCUAGGAGUCGGGCUGUAACCUGGGGUGUAGCUGUCUUCGUCAUCCAUACGUGUGUCGGAGGCGGCGCUGCUCUUCAGCGGGGUAGUAAGAAGAGGAGGAAGAGGAGGAAGGAGGUUCCUCAAACCUUCCACUCCUCCCUCGAGUAUGGCGUCAAGGGCGGGGUGGUCUUUGGCCAAUGCCGACACCAAAUGAUGGACGGCUUGCACUGCAUAUUCCCGCGACACCUCUUGAGACACGAUAGAUGCCUGCUCUCGCGCCUCCGCCUUUGCUUGUUCUAUUAUUUCAGCAGAAGCAGGGAGCUUUUUCUGAACCCUGCUUCGUUUCGGAGCAGGCGGGAAAUAAUCAUCCCAGCAGGCCCUUCGCCUUCCCCUAGAACACGGCCCGUGUGCUCCGCCUUUUGCAAGCUGGUGGUCACAGCCGACUCCCACCUCUUGCUCUCCUCCCAUUUGUGGGCAUUUUCCUGUUAUCAUAUAAGACAGGUGAGUCUAUAUGGAUCAGGAGUGUCAUAAUUAACGCCGAAAACAAAUAAAUGCACGUGAACCCUUACCGUAAAUUUUUUAACAGGCGACUGCAUUGGCUCAAUGCCCGUCCACUCCUCGGGUGUCAUGUGCUAACAUGCAUAUUCUCUAGCACAUUGGUCCGCCAGCAUGUCAUGCACUGGAGGCACCCUGCCUGCCGCCUCGAGAAUUCGGCCCUGCUUGCGCCAGACCUUCUUCUUCCCCUCUUUCCCUGUACUCCCUAGGCUGUGGUUCAAGUGCUUCCUCAAGCGCAACGCCCUCAUACGUUCACUCUUCGCAAUGCAGGCAGGGUCAGAAGAUUCCUUCUUGAAUUUUUCCCAUUCGGCCUCAUCAGUUACCGAUGGCCAUUUCUUCUUGAUGAUCUCGUAGGUUUGUCCAUCUACUUUCUAGCGGUGGUUUUCCAAUUACCAAGUCCAUUGCGUACUGCUAUGUUGACGGCCGCUAGGAAUCGCUCACGCCACUCGUUAGUGACUUGGAACCUCCUUGCAACGUCCGCGAUGCACGUGUUUCUAAUGACUUCGCAGAUGUCACUCCACUCGUCGGUGAUCUUGCCAUACUUACGUGCAACGGCUCCACAGGUCGUUGCGAAGGCCUUCUGUACCCUCUCAGGCGACUCCGGGCGGCCUCUUUCAGAGUGCCGGGUGACCACGUAACAGAACUCCUUCAAGUUGUGGCUCCCCCUCAGCGUCUUCUUCCUUGGCUUCUUAGCGGGAGUUUCAGAAGGCUGCGGGUUACUCUCUUCCUCCCGUCGCUCAUUGUCACGCUCUUCUGAAUGAGAGCUACCUGAGCCAGAGCUGGCAAUCUUCUCUCCCGAUGAAGACUCUUCAUCAACACGAUCUACCUCCUCCCGAUCAAGAACUGGUUUCUGGCUACUCUUGCCCAUUUCGUACCUAUGCCAUCAAAACCAUCAAAUAUAUAUCGGCCAAAAAUUUCGGCAUGACCUAUGCUAAAAAACUAGCAAAUUUUCUCUACUAGGAGCUCGAAACCUGCAUAAAAACCCCACCCGCAUAUGUACCCCCUCGGCACGAUGGCCGGCCCCUUCUCCAAUGAUCCGACACGAUGGUCGGGCCCACAAUUCACAUAAAUGAAGCACUUGGUGUAUAUAGCUAAAAUCAUAAGUAAACAGCAUGUAUAUAGAUAAAAUCAUGCUCUUUCUGAAAUUAUGUAGAGCUAAAUUUAUGAACUCCAACACGCAAACAUGUAUAUUGCAGCAUCUAAAUUAUGUAGAGCUACAUAUAUAGCUAAAAUCUUAAACAUGUAUAAAUCAUGCUCUUUAAUUCAAAUCAGCAAGGAGCACAGGAGCACAUCAUACAAGGAUUAGGAACACAGGAGCACAUCAUACAACAUUUGUAAUUUCAAUGAACCCUAACACUUGUAAACAGGGGCAGAAGCAGCAAUUCCUAACCCUAACAGUGAACCCUAACACUAACCCUAACCCUAACAGUGAACCCUAACCCUAAAAUUCAACCCUAACCCUAACAGCGAACCCUAACCCUAAUAGUGAGAGGGAGGCAGAGGGAGCGCGCACCUUGUGGGUCGAGGAAGACGGCUCGAUGGUGCGGGGUCGACGGCGGGGAAGAGGAAGACGGCUCGGGGGUGCGGGCUCGGGGACGGCCGAGGAAGACGGCUCGGGGCGGAGGAGGAAGACGGCGAGGAGGUCGCAGGCGAGGACAGCCAGGGAGGUCGCGAGCGAGGACAACGAGGCCGUCGGCGGCGGGCUCCGGUCGAGGACGGGGAGGCGCGGGCUCGGGGCGGAGGAGGAAGGAGGCGAGGACGAGGCCGGCGGCGGCGGGCUCAGGGCAGCGCGCGGGGUCGACGGCGGCGGUUGUGCCAAAAUUGGGCAGAGCUUCGCCCGGGGAGGAGGAGCGCCCACUGCUGGUCUGCUAGAGGAAAGCGACGCGCAGGCGAGAAGUAACGGGCUAGGGUUUUGGCGCUUCCUUUUAUAUGCCCAAGCACAUCAGUGGCGGUCUCCUUCCCACGUGACCGUUACUGAUGUAUAGAUGCACAUCAGUAACGGGCGAGCCGUGAUGCGACCGUUACUGAUGAUCUAUACAGCAGUAACGUUCCGGUAAGAACGCGACCCUUACUGAUGUAUAGAUGCACAUCAGUAACGGACAAUUAACCAGCCAACCGUUACUGAUGUGCAUCUGUACUUGUUGAGCUUUGUACCAAUUUCAAUUACAGGAACGUUUAAAUUUUUUACAAAAGUACAUGGAUCACACAUAAUUUCACUUAGUACAAAGUUUACAUUAAGAUUCCGUACGAGUACAUUUUACAAUGUGACUACUAGUGCUUCUUCUUCCUUCGGUAAGUCAUAACUUGACUCCUCGCAGAACUGCUUCUGAGGUAGGGUUUUUGUGGUAUUUUCUCGCUCUCGCUCCCCUCACUUCUUCAUUUCCCUCUCCUUUUCCUCGUUAAUAUCGUGCGUUCCGCUUCUUCGUCAUCUGCGGCGGUUGUCGGAUCAUGGAAACCUUCGUAGUCUUUUUUUGAAGUAAGUCCGUCCACUCCAACAAUGCUUCUUUUCCCUCUUCUUACUACGACGCGGCCUUUAUUUGCCGGCUCGUCUAUGUAGAAUACCUGCUUGCAUUGUUUAGCAAAGACCCAUGGUUCCUCUCUUGCCGAGAUUUUUCUCACGUAACCUCGUUCACGAGGGAUCUCAAGAGGUAGCACCAUCGUCGUGAACCUGUGACUUUCUUCUUUGUCACCUUUGGUCCAUCUUACACGGAACAUUGGGAUCUUUGUGAUCGAGUACUCCAAUUCCCAGAUCUCCUCGAUAACACCGAACAACGCUUUGGUUUUGCUGUUGUCGUCGGUCGCGGUCUCAGAAGUCAUGACUACACCACUAUUUUGAUACGUGCUUUUACGGUCCUGAGACGCAGUGUAGAAGUUAUAACCGUUGAUCGCAUAUGAUUGCAAGGUAGAGACGUGGUAAGCAGGUUCCCGUGACAAACAUGCAACCGUUUCUUCUGAUACAUUGGUCGUCUCCCUGCCGUACCAAUAAUUCUUCAGCCACGCUGCGAAUGUUUUAUUGUGCUCCCAGUGGAUCCAGACUUCUCCUCUUUUAGGGUUUUCAUUUCGAAGUUGUUCCAUGUGCAUUUCCUGAUAAGGCCGGCAACAAUCGACAGUUUGCAACACAACCAAAUGUGCUCUUUCAAAGUCAGCUUCCCUUCCUCUUCCAUAGACAUUAAGGUAUGUAUCUCCAAGGCCACCUUCGCCAUCGAGCUUGCCCUUGUGCCGUGAUUCGGGAACACCUAUUGAUUUCUGGUCGGCCAACCAAUCUGUGCAGAACUCGAUGCACUCUUCUGCCCUAAAGCCUUCCAUGAUACUACCUUCCGGACACGAUCUGUUACGAACGUAGCGCUUCAGAACCCCGUUGUAUCGUUCAGGACCAUACAUGUUAUGCAGGAAUGAGGGCCCGAGGGACAAGAUCUCAUCGCAUAUGUGGAUGAUUAGAUGGACCAUGAUAUCGAAGAAUGAUGGAGGAAAGAACAUCUCGAGCUCGCACAGAAUCUGUAUCAUACUAUCCUUCAGUAUUUGGCAUCGUCUAACGGUGAUUGACUUCUACGAUAUGCUGUCAAAGAAGUCAGAAAGCUUCAUGAUUGUCUCCCUUACGUGCGGCUCCAUGAUACCUCUGAUUGCGACUGGAAGUAACUGAGUGAGUAUGACAUGGUUGUCGUAAGAAUUCAUGCCAGAUAGAUUGUGACUCUUCAUGUCAACUAAAUGCUUGAUGCUCAACGAGUAGUUCGAUGGGACUUUAAUGCCCUGCAGGCACUGGCACAUCCUAUGCAACUCGUCUUUGUACAGGUUGUAACAUGCAAGACGACACCGCGUGGUCACCGUCACGAAAUCAUUCUUGUCGGCUGCCGACGCUUGAUCUCUGCCCCACAACUCUUUUCUGAUAGACAUGAGUUCCAGGUCCUUUCGUGCAUUGGGUCCAUAUUUCGUCUUCUCUGGAAUGUUCAUCAGCAACCCCAGCACGUUGUCGCAUACAUUUUUCUCCACGUGCAUGACAUCUAUGCUGUGGCGGCAUUCUAAAUGUGCCCAGUACUCUAGAUCCCAGAAUACGGACCUUCUUUUCCACAUGACGCCUUCAGGUUCCUUAUAUUUCUUUGCAGCAAUCUUUCCGGGGACAACUUCAAGAUCGUUCACAAUUUCGAGGAUUUGCAUACCAGACUUCUCCUUCGGCGUUGUCCCAUGCUCCGUCUUCCCAUUGAACCUUUCCUUGUCAUCCCUCCAAGGGUCUUUAGCAUCCAACCACUUUCGGUGGCCCAUGUAAACAAUUUUGGAUGAAGCGGGCAACUUCUCCGAUGUCGUGUUUUUCCCUCACUUUGUAUAGGCCUUGUAGCCACGUGUCACCUGGCAUGAAGUAUUUCCAUUCGCGGGGUAGUCAUGCAAUCAGGUCAGAAGCGCUGCUCUCAUCGUGAAGUACUCCCUCCUGUUGGCGUCCCAAACCACUCUGCCAGGGUUCCAAAGCUGCUUCAACUCAUCCUUCACUAGUUGCAGAUACACAUUUAGGUCAGCUCCCGGCUGCUUUGGACCCUGUAUGAGCAUGGACAUGUGGAUGUACUUUCUUUUCAUGAUUAACCAUGGAGGAAGGUUGUAGACAAACAAGAUCACUGGCCAUGUGCUGUGCUUGUUGUUCAUGUUUCCGAAAUGAUUUAUCCCGUCAGUGCUGAGAUCGAGCCUCAGGUUUCUGGGCUCUGCCUCGAAAUCAGGAAAUGCCGUGUCGAAGUUCCUCCACUGAGUCCCAUCGGCAGGGUGUCUUAGGACCCCAGCUUCCUCCACACGGUAGUGCCCGUCAAGAUCGAAUGCAGCCUGCGCCGGAUCAUGAUGGACGAGAUACCUCGCGUCCUUAACGUUCUGCAUCCAACGUUCAACUCGGCCACCUGCCGUAAGAUACCAGAGAGUCUUUGCCGGCUUGCCCUUCAUCACUUCUUCCCCAUCGUCUUCGCCAGCUCUGGCGUUUUUCUUCUUGUAUCUCGAUGCACCGCAUAUGUGUCAGCUCUCAUGGUUCUCGUACUCUCCAAUGUAUUCCAUGCAGUCGUUUGGACAUGAAUGAUGUUUCACGCAAUCUAAUCCAAGCGGGCAUGUAAUCUUCUUCGCCUCGUAUGUGCUCUUGGGCAACUUGUUUGGCUGUGGAAAAACCGAAGCAAGGUAACUCAACAAGUCCGUGAAGCUCUUGUCUGACCAGCAUGAUGCUGCCUUCAGCCUCAAAAGUUCGAGCGUCACUUCGAGCACGUUGUUUUCUUCGCCAGCUCCAUCAUACAAGGGUGUGUUUGCGUCCUCCAACAAUUUUUUGAACUGAGCAGACUCUGCCUCAUCUUCAGGGUCCUCCAGCUGCUCCCGUAUGUACGGGUCAUCUAGCAUUUCGGCAAUCCUGCCACAUGGAGCUCCUUCACCUUCCACAUUAGCCUCCUCAUCGACCCUUGUUUCUUCCUCGGAAUCAUUCGGCAGAUCAUACCGCAGGACAUCAUCAUCUUCGCUACCGCUACCGACAUCAACCGCAUCCUCCCCGUGACAAGUCCAGCGAGAAUAACCUUCCACAAAACCCGAUGCCAGCACGUGCAUCUGAACAUCUUCAGGCUUCAUCAUGCAUGUGUUUCCACAUUUGCGACAUGGACAACGCAUCAUCACAAGUCCUUUCCGUUCCAUAUCACCUUUCGCGACUCCAAAAAAGACCGUCCAUUCGGUUAUCCAUCGAGCAUUGAUUCUUUCCUUGGCGUACAUCCAAGAACGGUCCUUCGAUCUACAAUACAAUACACACGAAAACAAACAAAGCAAAAUAGUUAGCCUAAUCAUUGACAAGGGGAUUAAGGUGUUAAUUAACCGGAGCUAACUAAAAAUUUGAAAUUAGAGACAUUCGGAGAGAAAUUGGAGGCCGGCGAGAAAGAUCGGGAGGGAGAGAGAGCUCGCAAGGGAGAGGGAAGCUCCGGGCGAUGACGAGGAGGCCGCAUUUUGGCCAGCGGCCGGAGCUCAAAAAUUUGAAAUUGGGAAACUUCGGAGAGAAAUUGGAGGCCGGCAAGAAAGAUCGGGAGGGAGAGGGAAGCUUCGGUGUCGAGAAUCGGAGCUUGCCGGCCGCCGGAGCUCCAAAAAUGGAGAUUGGCGGCCAUGGCUGCCCGCCGGCCAUGGAAACGGCGGCCGCCGGCGAGGGGGGGGGGAGGAGGAAGGGAGAGAGAGGAGGGGCUACCUGGGGGGCUCGCUGGCGGCCAUGGCGCCGGCGGGCAGCGCUUCGCCGUCGCCGGAGAAGAAGGGGCCGCGGCUGGUCCGUUACGACGCGCAGCGCGACCAGCUGCGGCUCUGCUCUUCGUAUUUAAACCGCGACGAUCAUCAGUGGCGGUCGGAAAUUGGACGACCGUUACUGAUAAUAGUGGGUACAUCAGUAACGGUCGCGUUAGGUCGACCGUUACUGAUGCAUGGUUCAUCAGUGGCGGUCACCUCUUAACCGACCGCCACUGAUGUGUCUCGCGAGGUAUGAUGGUUUAUCAGUGGCGGUCGCCUCGCGCGACCGCCACUGAUGUAUGGUUGGGCAGGGACGGGCAGACCCCGCUCUGUUCAUCAGUAACGGUCGCGGCCGCGACCGACACUGAUGUUGUUCAUCAGUAACGGUCGCGCCGGACCUAUUACUAAGGUGCCGUUGCAUAUAAACUGUUUUGUAGUAGUGUAGCGGCCAUGCAAGACCUGCUCCUCCUUUGAUUGUCGCUGGCCUUACCGACGCUCAUCGGCGCCGCUUUGCUGGCCUUAACAAAUCGGUAUUUUGCGCACGUGACGGACGAAAGGACGACGGAAAUUUCACUCAUUUUAUUAUUAAUAUAAAGGAGAUGGACGGAAAUGCGUAACGACGUCCGCACGUAGAUAGAUAGAUAUAGGCGGCUUACAUCAUCUCUCCACGCGUUGGGUUGGUGCCGUUGCAGUCCCGGUCCAUGCAGAUACGUUUUUAGCAUGACACCUGGAUUAGAAUUUAGUAGGGCCGCCACUCUCCAUAGCGCUUUGCCACUUGGAUCGUCUAUAAAACGAAAGAAAGCAAGAAGUAGGAGAAAGCAGCUAGCAGCAGGUCAUUAGCGGCCAUGCAAGACCUGCUCCUCCUCCUCUGGCUCUCGCUGGCCUUAACGACGCUCAUCCCCGCCGCUUUGCUGAUCUGGCAGCAUGCCUGGCCGUGAGAUCGAGAUAGGCAAUCAGAGGGGGUGAAUGAUUGCGCGGAAGCAAAUUAAAACUUUUUUUGAAAAUUCAAACCCUAAAUCAUCUUUCUGUCCGUGAUAAUAAAACAGUCGUACCUUUUGAUUGGAUGAACCAAAAAAUACGUAUGAGUAUGCAAAAGAAAGGUAUUGAAAUUAUCUAACCAACGCAACAAGAAUCAGCUCAAUUGGACGUACCAAUCAAAAGAUAUGAUCAAAAUAGUAACAGCUGACAAAAAAUUACGAGGAUUAAUCUAAAAUCAAUUUCGAAGAAUAACAAGAAAGAUGAAUUAAUCGCAAUUUUCAUUUGAUCUCGUGAUAAACCUGCAGCAAAGUAUUAUGAACUCGUGAUGAACCUGCACCAAAGUGUUAGAAAGAUCUAGCACGAAGAAUCCACGAAGCUUUGAGAAGAAGAGAGAUGACACCACCAACGAAUCUUCUUAAUGUAACGAUGUUGAUCGAUUACAAAAGAUGCACAACCAUGUAUCGAAGAACUCUCCAACAAUUGAUCUAGAUUCAAAGCUCUGAGUUUCCUCACGUCCUUGUUAAAACCCUAGCUAGGAUGCCAUCUAUUUAUAAGGGAAAAUUCACGACCCUAAACCGAAUCCGAAUCCAACACGAACUUCUCUGUUCCGGUCGGUAUUUUGCCCGUGGGGCCCGCAUACGACCUCGGAUUGAGAUGAGUCCAAAAGCAAAGUUGUUCGUCUCGACGACGCGCACAACUUUCAUUGAGACCAAUUUUCCAUCCGACACCAUCUUGAGGACGCUACUGUUUAAUCUUUAAACAGAUUUCAUCCUGCCACGGCUGGACCUACAUAUCUUCACGUCGAUGACACUCCGUGCCAUCAACUAUUCUUGAGAUGUCUUCAAAACUCGACCAUGACGUAUCGAAUAUCUUCAAUACCAUACAUAUCCGGUAUAAACAAAUACGACAAACCGGUGGCCUCCCGGAUCAUCGUAACCUUCACUUCCAUUGUUCCUUCGCACGAACGUCCCGCAUGACCUUAAUCCUCGACCUCAGCUUCUCCCAAGCUUCGUCUCUCGAUCCCGUCAUCGACCACGUUUCUCUAGCUCCGGCAACACCUCAGGCCACGGCGGACGUCAUGGACGACCUCCUCGAGAGCUUCCUCGCGCUGCGCGUGCUCGCCAUGCUUCCCGCGGCGCUGACGCGUGUUGUGUACCGCAAGCGGUUGGCCAAGCUCGUCAACAUCCGGCGGCGGCAGGAGGAUCUGUACUUGCCGCUCGUCGACCUCUGGCGCCAGGCGAUAGCAGGAGGAGGAGCUCCGGCGUACGUGGACACGCUGAUCGAGCUCAUGGUCCCCGACGAGCAGGACGGAAAGCGGAGGCUCCUGACGGACGGCGAGGUCGUGGCGCUGGUGUCGGAGUUCCUUGGCGCCGGCACGGAGCCCGUGUCGGCGGAGCUGCAUUGGAUCAUGGCGAGGCUCGUGAAGCUGCCGGGCGUGCAGGCGGCCGUCCUGGGCGAGAUCGAGGCGGUGGUGGGCGCAGACGCCGAGCAGGUGGACGAGGAAGCCCUGGGAAGGCUGCACUACCUCAACGCUGUCAUCAUGGAGACGCUCCGGAUGCACCCAACCGUGCCGGUCAUGCAGAGACAGGUGACAGAGGACGACGACGUCGCUCUCGACGGGCAGCGCAUUCCGGCGGGGACAGCGGUGAAGUUCCCGGUGGAGAGGCUGGCGCGGAACAAGGCGGCGUGGGCUGACCCGGACGAGUUCCGGCCGGAAAGGUUCCUGGCGGGCGGCGAGGGCGAGGCCGUCAACCUGGCGGUGGCUGUGCCCGGGGGGCAGAUGAUCAGGAUGAUGCCGUUCGGGGUCGGCCGGAGGAUGUGCCCUGGCUGGAGCAUCGCGGUGCUCCACCUGGGCUACUUCGUCGCCAACCUUGUCAGGGAGUUCCAGUGGGCGGAGGCGGAGGGGGAGAUCGACCUCCAACCGCGCCUUCGUGGCCUCGUCACCGUCAUGAAGCGCCCGCUGCGUGUCCGCCUCAUGCCUCUGCGUCACAAUACUUGUUAUUAACUAGAUGGUUACGCGCGCUUCGCUGUGCCGUCAACAAUUGUCUGCAUGGUGUGAUUGUCUCGGUCUUCCUCAGUAGAAAAUAAUCCCUCUUUUCCAGCAAAAACUGCAGCUCCUGCUUACAUUGUAUCAUUGGUGUUGCUUUAAUUAGUGCCUUAUGCUGCUCACCUUUUUAAUCUAAAAUAGUGCAGUGUCUCUGACAAUGUACGUCCUAAUUAAGCUUGGUCCACACAAUAUGCAUAACUGCAAGUAAGGCAGCUAGGUAAUGCGGAAACUUUGUUAUUCUUUUUCUUAACAGAAUUAAGUCACAGUUUUCUUACCUCUGCUAUGAGCUGAUUGUCAAAAACUGAAAUGGAAGAGAAUUUAGUUACCACUUGCUUACCUAGAAAGAAUUUCUUUGAACCCACAUAAAUAUACACCUUUGAGAUCGAGCAUAUAUUAGAAAAUAAAUUUCAGUUUACACUUGAAAACUAUAGGGUGGGAUGUUAACCGAAUGAACAUACUGAGUACUUGCCUAAAGAGUCUGAUUUAAUUUGGAGAAAACAAUUACCGAGUAUGUGACUAUGGAGUACUUUGCAUUAUAUAGCCAUUUGAAAGAUAUAACUGAAAUGAACACCCAUCAUGGAAGAGUACACGGUGUGAAGUAAGGAUUAUUGGAAUUGAAAUGAGGCAGCUAAAUAAGCUUCCCCAGCACAAAAAAUUGCCUGAAAGAAUGUAUAGUUCAACGGAAUGAAAUAUGAGUGACCAAUAGAAGGCAUAGCUAGAGAUAGAAGUGAUCUUACAUUAGAACUUUGCACAAAAAUGGAAUUAAUUCAUUUUGGCAUCCUGCUGUUUCAGAACUAUCUUGAAGCCACAUGAUACUCCAUGAUACAUGGACCUGUCACUUCCCCAUAAAUAAUAUCUGCAAAGUGAGAUAGGAAGGUAAGGUGUGCACACAUCGACCUAAUAGGCAAGGAUGAAAUCCAAAAGUACGAUUUAAUAAUUAAUUAAUAUAUAAGGUUGUGGUACCACACUCGUAUGCUCGUAUUACUAUUACAAUCAAGUAAAGUACGUGCUCUCCUAAUUCCCAGAACAGGGUAGCCUCAGCUUUCCGCUGAUAGUUUUGACAUGCAUCUUCAAGGAAAAUGCCUAAGGUCCAAGUUUUCCUGAUAGAUUGAUACGGGAUUGUAAUCUUCGACCACAAAAAUAAAUGGUAGCUGUAAAAAUUCUUAUAUAUUGCCAGCCUCCAAAACCUCGUGAUAAAUAUCCACCAUCGGGCACAAAGUGUUGACCUUUUUACCCUAUCCACCGUCAUGAUGUUUCACUGUUUGUUCUAUUUUCUUUUGUAAGAACUUCGCUCCAAUUUAUUACUUGAGCUAACCUAAUCUGACUUCGCCAACUUCCAUACACAAGCUAUAUCCAUAAUAAAUGUCACAAAUUUAGUAUAACUUUGUACUAAUUUUGUAUUAAAUUAGCGACACUUAUUAUAGAUCGGAGGGAGUAAUAAACAAGCAACCCAAAUCCCUUCUAGAUCCCAUUUUCCCGUGUUUAACAUUCGGGGAGAUCAUAUUGUAUUUUAAGGUGGCCCGGUGACACUAUAUACUCAGUAUGGUUAUCCUCACUACUACAAAACGGUCUAUAUGUAACGGCACAUCAGUAACGGGUCCGGCGCGACCGUUACUGAUGAACAGAAUGGGGUCUGCCCGUCCCUGCCCAGCCAUACAUCAGUUGCGGUCGCGCGAAGCGACCGCCACUGAUGAACCAUCAUACCUCGCGAGAGACAUCAGUGGCGGUCGUCGGCAGUCGGUUAAGAGACGACCGCCACUGAUGAACCACGCAUCAGUAACGGGCGCCCUAACGCGACCGCUACUGAUGUACCCCCUAUUAUCAGUAACGGUCGCCCAAGUCCCGACCGCCACUGAUGAUCGUCUCGGUUUAAAUACGCUGGGCAGAGCCGCAACUGGUGAAAGAGUACUGGCGGCCCCGAAUGACAAUGGCACACCGACCUAAAUAGGUCGUGUAUAACAUUCAAAGGGAGUUCACCCAUCUCAUCAACAAUGAUGUCAUCAAGCUUAGUGGGGACUUCUACGAACACGUGGAACAAGUGGUGAGUAGGGUUCACCCACAACAAUAGCUUCAAACUUGAAAUGAGAUACAUUUGUAUUCUUUAUAUGCUUCUAUGAAAUUUUGACACUCUGUAAUCAGUGUCGUGAAGUGUGAUACAUUUGUAUUCUUGAUAUGCUUUAAAUGAUGUGGCUUUAUAUAAUUUGUAUGCUUUAAAUGAUGUGGUUGUGUAUUUUUCUGUGCUGUGCUGUGAUGUGCUGUGCUGUGUAUUCAAAUAUAUAUUUUUCUGUGUAUUUUUUGUGAUUUUAAUUAUUUUUUUAAUUACUGAAAAUGUAUCAAAGCGACCGUUACUGAUGUACAUAUCAUCAGUGACGGGCGCGGAAACAUGACCGUCACUGAUGAUGGUCUUCAUCAGCAACGGUCGGGUCGGGCCGCCUGCCACUGAUGAUGGUACAUCAGUAACGGUCGGAGCGACCGUUACUGAUGAUACCCAUCAUCAGUAACACGAAGUUAGUAACGGCGGCCCCGACCGUUACUGAUGUUGCUUUUUGACCGUUACUGAUAAACUUUUCUGUAGUAGUGCCUCAAUAGUCAAUA